RNAcentral lists this long non-coding RNA (73675 nucleotides) under Manihot esculenta (cassava). Its description in RNAcentral is "long non-coding RNA (MESC_LNC004411)". Lineage: Eukaryota; Viridiplantae; Streptophyta; Magnoliopsida; Malpighiales; Euphorbiaceae. The record is from RNAcentral.
UGUGAGACACUUCUAAUGGGAAAGCAAAAGAGGAUGUCUAAUGUGAUGAGUAGCGAAAUGAAGCAAGAGGAAAGUUUGAUUCUCUUCUCUCCGAAGAAUCAUGGCGAGGAGGCAAUGGUGGUAAUUUCUGGUUCUUAUGUUAUUGUGGUUCCCAUGUGUUGUCUUCUCACAUAGCAUAACUGAAAAAUGCAGGCUAGAAAUCCUUUCCUUGACCUCAACUUCACUGAAAGCUCGAAAAGCUUGUCUGUUGGGACUAUUCCAAUGCAAUGUGCAACAGAACAUCAGCAGAACUCCGACUUAUUCAAGCUACCAUCGCCAUGCCCGUACGAUAACUUCCUGAAAGCUGCUGGUUGUUGAACCUAAUGAAGCAUAUGAGAACAGCACUUCUUCCUUAACUAGACAAGAAACUUUCAGUAUUCAAGUAAACAAGCAGUUCAAAGUGUGCAGGCCUUGCGGCUACAAGAAUCCGCCGUUCGAAGAACGCAUUUUAGUGUAUGUAAGAAGAAGCACAGAUGCAAACAGGAUUUGUUGAGUUUGUUGAAGUUUUCUAAUUAAAUUCUUUAAUCUUACUUGCUUGUUUGUCUUUGCAAGAUUUUGAGCUGCAAUUUGCCAUUGCCUUCUUCUGUACUAGCAGUUCGAAAUUCUUCGCCAUGUGAGAGCUUCCGAUCAAGGAUUCAUUCCUUUUGAUGUGUAAAGAACGGUUAUAUGUUAAUGUCUAAUUCUUUCCAUCAAUGCAAUGGGAUAGAGUAUGUAAAAUUCCAGACUUAUGACUUAAAUAUAUUAUUAUGGGUUAGAACUUGUACAUUUUUUUAUACGUUUUUAAUAUUUUAAAUUUCAAAUCAUACUAAAAAUAUUAGUAAUAUGUAAGAAUAUAGAAAUAUUUAUUACUUUAAUGUAAUACUUUUAACAUUUGUAAUUUUAUUUAAAGUUUAAAAAAUAUAUAAUUGAUUCAAAGUUAGUAUGAAAAUUUAUAUAUAUAUGAUGUUCCUGGCUUCCUUUGUCCCUCAAGACCAACAAAGGGGAAUUGCAAAUAUUUUUAUCCUGAUUUUAGGCUCUGAUUCAUCCUUCAUGAUGAACUUUACAGGGUCUAGUAGUAAAAUUCACAUUUCAUGAUUGCUACUUGGCUAAACAUAUUAGGGUAGAUACAAGUAUUUGAUAACUUCUUAGCUAAGUCUCUCUCUAGUUUCCAUCUACAGAGAGAAUCACUUUUUCUUCUGCCUAGGAGAUAGCUCCCCGUUUACCAUCAUUUCAUCGACUCCUUUCUAUCCCGUCCGGGCAGAGGCAUGCCUCUCCCUUUUUGAAGAGUGAGUAGUGGUUUCUUUUCUUUUUUAUUUUUCUUUGUUUUUUCACAAUGGAUCCAACAGAGAUCUUGAUAUUUUUUUUAGAUUUGCUGCUCCUUUUAUUGCUUAAUCUAUGCUUCUUUGGUUUUUUUUAUUUGCAUGCAGAUGGUGAAUAACCUGGGCGAUUGAUCUUGUUUGCUUGGAGCCACCUGCGUGUGAUGAUCAAACGCUAUGUUUUCUUUGGAUGGUGCUUUAUAGAUCCGCAAAGAGAGACCGGUUUUUAGGGAUGGGUACCUCUUGGAGUCUUGUACUAGGUUUGCACACCAUAAAUAGUGACCACCCUUAAGGUUUAGAUCUACCGAAGAGCUCUGCUCAUCACUCCUUCCCAGUUAUGCUGAAAUUGUUGGUUCUUCUUCUCUUAGAUUUGUCAUGCCUUGGCUUGUUUGUCCGGAUGCUCAAACCCUGUUUUUCUGUUCUGGUUUGUUUCUUCUGUGAUGGGUUCUAUUGGUUUAUUGCUUGUAACAAAGGAGGUAUUAUAAGGCGUUCUGGUCAUAGGUUUCUAAAGUUUUCCAUCUUGUUUUGAGGCUUGGGGAUGACCUAGUUUUCUAUAUUUUGCUCUCUGUUGCUUUUCAUUGUUGUAUUUUUCUUCGUUGGAAACUAAAGAUGGUUGGCUUCUCAAUCUAGAAAGGAUAGCAGAGAUGAUGUUAGGCUCGACAAUCCUGGUUCAGCUAGCUGUAGAUUUUUUAUGUCUGGGGCUUGGGCAUCUUGUUAGGAGCUUUUGUUUUGUGUUUGAUUGGCUUCAGAAGCCUCUUCAACCUUAGUUGUAAUCCAUAUGCUUUUGAGCUUUGAGCCCAUUAUUAAUGAAAUCAUUUUAUCUUUGAUGAAGGUGUAAUGCUUAUAAAGAGGUGAUAAAGGUGUAAAUAAUGUACGAAAGCAUAAGUUGAAAAACUAACCCCCUCUCUUCAAAUGUCAAUUUUUUUUUUCUUAUAUCCUAAAUUGGGAUAUAAGGAUUGGAAGGUGAGAUAAUUAUUUUAAUUUUAAUAUGUAUUAUACUAAAUGGGUCCCUUGAUUAUGAAGAUAAAAAAAUAAUAAUAAUAAAUAAAUAAAUAAAUAAAUUAGCACUCCAAGGCUUAGCUUGGUGGAAAGUGCAUCCUGUAGCCUUGACAGGUCUAAGGUUCGACUCCCCCGACCCCUAUUUCAAAAAAAAAUAAAUAAAUAAAUUAAGUUUUCAGCCACAACCAAAGCCACUAAUGUGGCUCUAAUGGACCAAAUCUCCUUUGAUUUGGCAAUCAAUUGCAAGAGCCACACUCUUUCCUAUAAAUAGGCAACAGCUCAAGAAAAUGGGAAUCAAGGAAGCUCAAGUGCAAAUAGCUUCAGUAAUUUGAGUGUUCUUUGAGGAUUUUGAGAGGUCCAAAGCAUUAAAAGAUAGAGAUUGAGAAAAAUAUUUUGGGUAUCUCAAUACUUUGAGUGUUAGUAUUUUUAAGUAGAUAUUAUUUGUAAUUUCUCCGUGGAAAAAUUAUUUGGAAUUUUUGUAUCUACUAUUUAUAAUAGUAAAAAAUUAUUUGGAAUUUAAGUAGAUAUCAUUUGUAAUUUCUCCGGUGGAAAAAUUAUUUGGAAUUUAGCGGAUGUGGAAAAAUUAUUUGGAGUUUAGAGAGUAAAUUAUAUUAAAAUUAUUAUUUGCUAUCUAUUUAUUUACUUAUAUUUUUUUUUCUAUUUUAAAAAGCGAUAUUUUAUCAAUAAGUGAUAUCAGAGAUUAGUUUUUGUUUGAAGUGUUGCAGAAAUGGAGGCAAGAAUAAACAAAAUGAUCAACUUAAAUGGCAUAAAUUACCACAUAUGAAAAACAAGAUACGAGAUAUCUUAUUUGUGAUGAAAAUGCAUUUGUCGAUAUUUUCUACAACUAAACUGGAGGACAAAUAGACAUGAAAAGCUUAGUUUCUGUUUGAAGUGUUGCAGAAAUGGAGACAAGAACAAAUAAAAUGAUCAACUUAAAUGGCACAAACUACCACAUAGGAAAAACAAGAUACGAGAUAUCCUAUAUGUGAUGAAAAUAUAUUUGUCAAUAUUUUCCACAACUAAGCUGGAGGACAAAUAGACAAGAAAUGGGAGUUUGAGCACGAGUACAAGCACGUGUGCGGCUUCAUUCGACAAUUUGUUGAAGAUAAUGGUUCAAUCAUGUUAAUAAUGAGACGCAUGCUCGGUUGCUAUGGAAUAAACUUGUAACGACCCGGAAACCGGACCGCUACCGGCGCUAGGAUCCAGAUCGGCUUAAGGUCGCCGGGACCCGUAGCAAGCCUAACAUACCUCCUAUCACCUGGCCAAAUCCCAUACAUGAUCAAAACAUUAACAUAAAAACUUAAAACAUCUGAUGUAUAUACCGAGCUUGACUUGUAUGCUACAUAACUGGAAACAUAAAAAACCCCCUAUUAGAGCCCUCAACAAAAACUCUAGCUGGGUCAACAUAACAUACAUCAAGCUAGGAUCACAUCCGAUGAACCAAAACCUAACAUGUGCAUGCACCAGAAUCAUAAGCAUAAGACCUCCACUAGAGUCCUCAUCAAAAUACUCUAGCGUGGUAAACAAUCACAUGCCACAAGUUUGGUUCAAACUCAACUCAACAUUAAAACAUAACAUACAUAAUGUACUAAAAAGGGACUAACCAAGCCUUAGGGCCAAGCACAAUACUAAUCCAUAAACAUAACUCUACUUUACGUUACAUUACAUCACAUUAUCUUACAAUACAUUCUAUCAAUUUACAUUACAUGUCCACACUAACAUGCUAAUCUAUUACAAAGCCAUAACUUUUACCCUUGACGUCUUCCUGGACUACCUCUGACCUGCAAACCUGGGGGUUAGGGAGAGGGGUGAGCUAAAAAGCCUAGUGAGCAGAACAUGGAAAACAGUAAUAAAUCAUAUGCUAUCAUGAAAUGCGUCACAGCACAAACAUUUCACAUCACGGAUGGACAUGACCACCAAAACUCCCUCUGUCUGUGCCCGGCCCUCAAAGGAGCUCUUCAGGACUUUUGUAACAUACAUGGUGCCCGGCCCUUCGGGCUCCUCAAGACUUCUGUAACAUACAUAGUGCCCGGCCCUUCGGGCUCCUCACGACUUCAUUAUGCCCAGCCUUCGAAGGGGCUCCUCAGGACUUCAUUAACAUAUCAUAUCUAGGGUUAUUGGAGUCGCCUUGGUCCAUCCACAUCAACAAUAAAUUAUGCAAUGCAGCAUAUUCGUGAUUUCUAAUGCAAGCAACCUACUACAUAUACAUGGUAUUCAUGAUGCGUGAAAUAUGCUAAAAACAUUUGAGUUAGUUCUACUCACCUCUGGCAGACGCUGGACUGACUCUGCAACAGCUAACACUGCUGGCCUCCUCGGUCCCUCGGGUCCGAUCCUACACAGGUGGACUCGAAUGAGGUGCCAAGCACACUCUAAACAACUCAUAAACAACUCCCCAAAAACCCCCUCAAACAUCCUCAAAACAUGCAUAGAAAAUAACCAUGAAAAGGCUGGACAGGGCACUUUCGGCGGCACCUUCGGCGGCCGAAUGUAGGGCCCUUCCAGAGUCGAAAGCCAUGCAGGUUCGGGGGCACUUUCGGCGACCGAAAGUCCUUCCAAAGCCGAAAGUCCUUCCAGAGCCGAAAGUCUGGCACCUUCGGCGGCAGGUUCGGCGGCCGAAGCCUCUCACAGAUCCGAAAGUCCUAGCCUUCGGGGGCACGUUAGGCGGCCAAAGCUGCCUUCCAUACAGGUUCGGUAGCCGAACAUACCUUCGGCGGCCGAACCUGGUUCCUUCCGAACAGCAAGUCCGAAUCCGACACAAGCAAAACCAACCUCCAAGCAACCCAAACCUCACAUGCCCUCUCCCAAACAUGCAUACACACUCCCAUAUGCAUAAAGGGGCAUAAACUAACUUAAACCCCAACACAACAUCACAUAAACAUACAUUGGGCAUAAAACCCAUAUAAACCCUAACAUGCAUAUCUACCCAUACUCAAGCAUUAAAACUUCCUUCAAACUUACUUAAAACUUUAUUAAACAUAAAUGAAAGCAAGGAUCUACACUUACCUCUUGAAGAUCGAGGGUUGGUGCGAUCCCUAACUUGGAGAUGGGAGGAAACAAACUCUUUGGGUCUCCAAGCUCCCAAAACUUGAUUUAAGCUUUAAAACUUCAAAACCCAAAAGGAAACUCAUAAAAACGUGAAGGAUUUGAAGAAAGAACAUGAAAUCAACCAAAGGAGGACAUUAACACACCUGAGCUCGAGAAUGGGGAGAAAACUCGCCCAUUUUUUAUCUGAGGGCCUUUUAUAGGUGGCCAAUCAACCACCUUCGGCGGCCUAAGCUAUCUUCACAGCUCCACCACCUUCGGCAGCCUAACUUGCCUCCUAAACUAUCCCAUGUUCGGCGACCGAACUUGAGGUUCGACGGCCGAACCUGGUUUCUUCCCUCAAAACCUUCGGAGGCCUAAAGCACUCCCGAAACAGCCCCAUGUUCGGCGGCCGAACCUGGGUCCUUCCUCCUUGGCCUAUUCUUUUCAAAACUCCAUUUCUUUUCCAUUUAAAACCAUAAAAACAUGAAAAUCAUUUUGAAGAAACAUUUUAGAAACAGAUUUUACCCCUCUAGAAGACUCUGGCAUCUUCAAAAUUCCAGAUUCCAACGAAGAUUCAGCCGGAAGGUAGGGAUUCUGAUGCCGAAAUCUAGCCGGGUAUUACAAAACUCGAGGAGUUGUACGCAUAACAAAUCAGUAAUAAUAAAUUAUUUUAUUGGAAAAAAAUAAUAUACCCAAAUUAUUAGGAAGGCACUUCUAUAGUAGAUCACUUAAAUGAGAUGCAAGGGUAUGUGGACCAAUUGUUAGGAAUGGGCAUGCAUGUUGAAAAUAAGAUGUUCGCUCUUAUACUGCUUACUUUUUACCAGAGUUCUGAGAAACUUUGAAGAUUUCACUUACAAACUCUGCAUCAAAUGGUAUAUUAAGUACAAAUUAGGUGAAGAGUGAAAUUUUGAAUGAAGAGAUGAGACAAAGAUCAUAGAGUUCAGUAUUUUCUUCUCAAUUAGAGGCCCUAGUUACAGAAUCUAGAGGAAGAAGUCAAUCUAAAGGUUCAAAGCCUAUAGAUAAGUAUAGAGAGAAGUCAAACAAGUAUGCCAAUGUAGAAUACCAUUAUUACAAGAAGAAUGGUCAUAUCAAAAUAUUAUGCAGGAAGUUCAAGAAGGAAUAAGAGAAGGAGAAAGGCAAAGGAGUAAAGAAAGAUUACAAUAAUGACGAUGAACAUUAAAGUGCCCUUGGUGAAUUUAACAUCGUCUGUGAUGAAGAUUUAGUUAGUUUGGCAACUAAUGAAACCAGCUGGGUGAUUGACAGCAGCGCAACUAUUCAUGCAACUUCUCGAAGGGGAUCUUUUCCUCUUAGACACCAGGGAAUGUCUGCUUAAUGAUAGAAAAUGGGACAAAACUAGUCCUUAUAGAUAUCAGGCAUAUUCCAGAUAUGUGGCUGAACUUAAGCUCUACAGGAAGACUUAAUGAUGAAGGUUUCUAAAACACAUUCUCAAAUGACAAUUGGAAGCUCACCAAAGGCUCACUAAUAGUGACUAGAGGCUCGAAGCAUUCAAAGUUGUAUGUGAUAUAGGCAAAGCUCUUCAGUAAUGCUGUGAAUAUAGUGGAGAAAGAAGGUGUAGCUGAGUUAUGGCAUAAGAGACUCGGCCACAUUAAUGAGAAAGGGAUGAAAAAAUUAAUAAAGAAGAAUGUAUUAUCCGGAGUGAAUGAGAUGCAUUUGAACAAGUAUAGUGAUUUUCUAGUAGGAAAGCAUAGUAGAGUAGUCUCAAGAGUUCCCCUCCUUCCAGAAUGAAGAACAUGUUGGAUAUGGUACAUUCAAAUUUGUGCGGGUCAUUCUCAAAGUCACUUGAUGGUGGUCAGUACUUUGUGACUUUCAUUGAUGAUCAUACAUGGGCCUACACUUUAAAGUUAAAGGAUCAAGUUCUGGAUGUCUUCAAGCAGUUUCAUGCCUCAAUUGAAAGACAGACUAAGAAGAAACUCAAAUGUAUUCGAAUAGCAUGGUAGAGAGUAUUGGACCAUUUCAUACUUACUGCAACGUGCAUGGUAUUUGACAUCAGACAACACCUCCAAAGACGACGUAGUUAAAUGGUUUAGUUGAAAGGAUGAACAGGACUUUGGUGGAGAGAGUUAGAUGCUUACUCUCACAUUCAAAGCUAUACAAGUCAUUUUUGGGGUGAAGCUCUGCUGGCAGCAGUUUAUAUGUUGAAUCUCUCACCCUGUGUUCCUCUACAGUAUGAAACUCCAUAGAGAUUAUGGUCAGAAAAGAAAGUCUCUUAUGAUCAUUUGCAGGUAUUCAGAUGCAAAGCCUUUAUUCAUGUUCCUAAGAAUGAGAGAUCCAAGCUUAAUGUAAAGACACGACAGUGCAUAUUUAUUGAGUAUGGUCAAGAUCAAUUUGGCUACAGAUUCUAUGAUCCGGUCUAGAAGCGGCUUGCAAGGAGCAGUGAUGCAGUGUUUGUUGAAAAUGAGACCAUCAAGGAUAUUGGCAAGAAGCAGAAAGUUGUCCCAAAACUUUAUAUUGACUCAAUAGACUUAGAGUUGAUUCCUCCAAUAGAGGUGCCAAGACAAGUUGGAGAUGGAGUUUAGAAAUAUCAAACAUUAAGUAGAUAAUGCUCCUACUGAAGACAAAUCAAAUAAUGAGAAUGACAAUAAUGUGCAACCACCAGUACUGAUAGAGCAUAUUUUAGUCCAUAUUAUCAUGAUCUUAUUGAUGUUUAUUUACACCUUUUCUAUCUAAUUUUGUGGUUUUAAUCAUAUUUUGCAGAUAUUAGGUGUAAAGAGACAAUCUGGAGAAAAUGCUCUUAAAACUGCCAAAAAGUGCCAAAUAUGAAAAGUGCCCAAAAAGGAAAGUUUUCAAAUAUGGAAAGUGCUAAAUAAGUAAAGUUUUCUGAUAAGGAAAGUGCCAGAAAAGGAAAGUGCAAUCAACAGAUUAUUUGAAAUUCAAAUUGCAGAUUCUUCUUUCCUUAUUCAGAAGGUGAAGCCAAUUAUGGAAAGUGUCAAAUAAGGAAAGUUUUCAGAAAAGGAAAGUCCUCAAAUAAGGGAAGUGCAGAAGCAAAAGCAAAUAAGGAAAGCUCAGUCAGAAGAUUAUUUGAGAUUUAAAUCGCAGAUCUUUCUUUCCUUGUUCAAAGAUGUGCACACACUGCAGCAGUCAUAUCUUCCUAUUUAGGCAGCAAGAUCUCAUGAAGACACACUUGCCUCUUCUACAUUCAGCAUUCAAAAUUCAAACGAAGGCUCCACCUAAAAAGAAAAGACUGGACAGAUUCACUUUCCCUUCUGAAUUCAAUGACUGCGCUCCACUUCCUCUUCUGCAAUCCGCGCGCAUCCUUCCUCUUCUGAAGCUUGAUCCGUGCGCCUCCUUCCUUCUGGAGAAUUUGCAACGCGAUUCUUUCCUUUUCAGCACUUUGGGCAGCCUCUUCACUAAUUAGGAAGCAAGUAUGACCUAGAGCAGCACUUUCAACUAUAAAAAGACACAUAAGGAGCCUCCACACAGCUUUUACACACCACCUUGGAGACACCUACGAAUUCAUAUCUUUUCUUCUACCUUUCUUUUUUUCUUUUAUUUUUAUUUUUGUUUCAGCCAUGAGAGGCUGAAAUCUUUUAUUCUAGUUGAAGAUUAGGUGAUACUUUAGUUGUUAUAUAGAUUGGGAGACUUGAUCAAACAUUGUUUAACUUUUGGUUGUUCAAUAUUCGUGCAAUUUCAUGCUUGAUUUCAAUAUUGCUUUGUUGUUUAGAUCUGCGUUGACUCUUGAUUGCAAAGUAAUAAUAUGUUAGUUUGGAUGAUUUAAGUCCGUAAUUGCUUGGAUUAUUCAAACAUAAGAACACUUGGUGUAAAAACUAAGGAUAUUGUAUGAUCUAAUGACAUCUCAUGCGUUUGAGUAGUUAGGAUUGGAUCUCUCUCUUUCUUCAUGCAAUUAACAAUUGUUUUGAUGCCUAAGGCCCAAGGACGUUCCUUGGCAAUUUGUUAAUUAGUAAUUAAUUAGAGGACGUUCCCUAAUUGAUUUAAUCAUAAGGAGAGACAUGGUGGUGAGAAGCGUCUUCCAUCUCCAUAACUAAUCUAUUGAAUCAAUCAAAAGAAACUAAGUGUCAAUGAUCAAUCCCAACAACUGAAGUGGAUCCAAUUCUUCAACUAGAGCUUUCUUAUUAUUUAUUUCUCUUUUAUUUUAUUAUUCGCUUAUUUUAAUUGCUUUCAGUAGUUUGUUAAUCAAAUCAAUCUCAAAUCCCCCCUCCAUUUUACUUUUACUGCAAUUUAUUUUUAUUCCGCUUUCAGAUUUAUCUCGUUUCAGUUUUAUCUCAUUUUAGUUUAUUUCUCUUUCAGUUUAUUUUUGCUUUCAAAUUUAUCUCGUUUUAGUUUUAUCUCGUUUCAGUUUAUUUUGCUUUCCGUUUAUUUCUCUUUCAGUUUUAUCUCGUUUCAGAUUAUCUCAUUUUCAGCUUUCUUCUUUUUCAGUUUAUUUUUGUUUCAGUUUAUUUUAUUGGUUUUGAUAAGGAAAAUAGGUAAGUUCUCAAUUCCCUGUGGAUUCGAUCCUUUCACCACUAUCUGCAGUUGUAAAUUAUUGAUAACCAGAAAUGUUAUUUUUGACCGGUUUCGACAACCGCGAGUCAAAAAUUGGCUCUGUUGCCGGGGAAUUGAUUUAACUUAUUUGUUUUUCUUUCAAGACCAAAUUAAAAAAAAAAAUUUGAAGACCAGCUUUGCGCAGGAGCACCUUCUGCAACACAUUCGGCCGUCGAACCUCAUCCUCAUUCGACCGCCGAACAUCUCACCAAGGCACAGUCACCAUCGCAGAUCUGAAUCAUGGAUGAGGUAAAUAGAUCUGAUUUUUCUUUACUGACAUCUUUUAUGAAAGAAUUUGCCAUAGGACUAGUUCAACAGGUUCAAGCAUCCCAGCCACCAAGGCCAUAUAGGAUCUGUGGAUAUGUGGGACACUCAACUGAUCAAUGUCCUACACUUUAUCAGUAUGACCAACCAGUGCAUGCGUUUGAAAGAUUCAAUAGUCAGCCUAGACAUGCAUAUGGAGGAUUCUAUAAACAGCCAAGACAUGAUCCAUACUAUAACACAUACAAUCCAGGUUGGGGAGACUAUUCAGACUUUAGUUAUACAGAGGCUAAUAACUACCAGGAUUAUCAAGGAUAUCAAGCCCAACCAGCACCUCCAAAUUCCACCCAGCACCUUGAAAAGAUGAUGGAGUCCAUGGUAAGUACUUUACAAAACCUUUAACAACGGAUUGCCACCGCAGAAAAUGCAAACAUGUUGAGAAGGGAGGAAGAGUUUCAAGAUGAUGAGGAAGAUGAUGAAAGUUGGCAAGUACAUGAACAAGCUACUGAAGAGAAUGAGCCAAGAAAAUUUUUAUAUAGAUCAAGAUGAUAUGCUAAACAGUGAUCUUUGCAGGGAAAAGAGCCAGAAAGAGCCAGAACUGAAAGAAAUUGACUGUUGCAUCCAACAGGUGAACUGCAGCCAAGCACAGACUGAAGGGAGCUCUGUCGCACCUCUUCAAGAGAAUUCGCAGAUGAGCCUUGCGCAACUUGAAGCCACCUCCAUCGCAUCCUUUCAGCUUCCAUUGCAUGAAACCCCUUCCAGUCAUCCCUUUCAGGUAAAUCUUGCGCAGAAGGAGCAAUCUGAAACUCCUUUCAGCCUUUCAACACAAACAGCCCAUGCUCACGAGGAACAAAUGGAAGUUCAAGAGCCCAAACCAAAGGACCAUGCGGAUCAAUGCUUGCCCAAACCUCCAGAUAAGGUAGAGUUUGUUUUGCCAGAUUUUAGUACUAAAUUGCAGCUAGCUAUGGAGAAAUAUCAAUUGAAGUUGGAAGUGCUCAAAAAUGCAAACAUAAGAGCUAGAGGCACACCUCAUCUGAAAGAGGAAGGGCUAAUCAUGUUACUUCAUGAGUACAUGAAAGAAAGAGGAUGGGUUAUGACCAAAUCAAAAGGAGUGCUACACUUUCUACUCAAUUCAGUUGGGACUCUUUUCCCUUCCCUAAUUACUUGAGCCUUGAUCAAGUGGAUCACACCAUGCACACCACACCCAGGGGAGUACUCAGUUUCUUUUGCAUUUUAAUAUUUCCUAUACAUUGAGGAUAAUGCAUGAUUUAGGUGUGGGGAUGCAUAUUUCUGAAUUUUUAAUUUUUGCUUUGAUUUUCAGUUUGAAUUUUUAUUUUCAUUUUCAGUGUGAUUUUUUUUCAAUUUUUCGUUUUGUUUUCAAUAACACACACAACCACAGUCUUCUUCCUUUUUGUGUUCCGAUUUGCUUCACUCAAACUGAUAGACUGUGUUGAUGAGCUUUUCUUUCCAUGACCCCAUUGAUGUAAUGACUCUUUAAACUUAUGUUGAAUCAAUUGCAGUGAAUUAUAUUCAUGUUUGAGAAUUGCCUUUUGAAUUGAAUCUUUGAGUUUGUCAUGGUGAAAAAUAUAUUGAUGACACUCAUUAGAGAGAAUAAAUUGAAAAUUGUGUGAAUGAAUUUAACAGGACUUGAUUUAGCAAUUGGUGUUGAUUUGCCCAAAUCAUUGAGAGAAAGAAAUUCACAAAGGCUUAGACUUCAAAAGCACAAAUUGAAAACUGUUCCAAUGGUCAAAAGACUAUGAACAGAGCUAGUAGCCACUUGGACAGAUGACCAACUGAGUAACUGGGGGUGGGUAUCACAAAUAUGUACAUUCACGUCAAAAGGUUGGUGACUUGUUCAAGCAAAAUUAAAAGUGCAAAAAGCUGAAUAAAGUACUUCAAGGUAAGGGCAAGUCACUCUGAAAGCUAGAAAAAGUCUUAUCUGAACAAAUAAUAUGUGCAUGUAUGAUCUCUCUUGAGUAAAACAAAUCCUAGCUAUGGUAAGCAAAGGGAAACAAGGAAAGAAGGUGAGUAAUCUUCAUGCAUAUAUUCUUCACUGCAAUGAUUCAAAAUAGGUGUUUAGAGUAAGAGCUUAAGUGAAAAUAAGGAUCUAGAGUAAGAAAGCUUGUUUGACUAUGUUUAUUUGCUUGAGGACAAGCAAAAGGUAAGGUGUGGGGGUAUUUGAUAGAGCAUAUUUUAGUCCAUAUUAUCAUGAUCUUAUUGAUGUUUAUUUACACCUUUUCUAUCUAAUUUUGUGGUUUUAAUCAUGUUUUGCAGAUAUUAGGUGUAAAGAGACAAUCUGGAGAAAAUGCUCUUAAAACUGCCAAAAAGUGCUAAAUAUGAAAAGUGCCCAAAAAGGAAAGUUUUCAAAUAUGGAAAGUGCUAAAUAAGUAAAGUUUUCUGAUAAGGAAAGUGCCAGAAAAGGAAAGCGCAAUCAACAGAUUCUUUGAAAUUCAAAUUGCAGAUUCUUCUUUCCUUAUUCAGAAGGUGAAGCCAAUUAUGGAAAGUGUCAAAUAAGGAAAGUUUUCAGAAAAGGAAAGUCCUCAAAUAAGGGAAGUGCAGAAGCAAAAGCAAAUAAGGAAAGCUCAGUCAAAAGAUUAUUUGAGAUUCAAAUCGCAGAUCUUUCUUUCCUUGUUCAAAGAUGUGCACACAUUGCAGCAGUCAUAUCUUCCUAUUUAGACAGCAAGAUCUCAUGAAGACACACUUGCCUCUUCUACAUUCAGCAUUCAAAAUUCAAACGAAGGCUCCACCUAAAAAGGAAAGACUGGACAGAUUCACUUUCCCUUCUGAAUUCAAUGACUGCGCUCCACUUCCUCUUUUGCAAUCCGCGCGCAUCCUUCCUCUUCUGAAGCUUGAUCCGUGCGCCUCCUUCCUUCUGGAGAAUUUGCAACGCGAUUCUUUCCUUUUCAGCACUUUGGGCAGCCUCUUCACUAAUUAGGAAGCAAGUAUGACCUAGAGCAGCACUUUCAACUAUAAAAAGACACAUAAGGAGCCUCCACACAGCUUUUACACACCACCUUGGAGACACCUACGAAUUCACAUCUUUUCUUCUACCUUUCUUUUUUUCUUUUAUUUUUAUUUUUGUUUCAGCCAUGAGAGGCUGAAAUCUUUUAUUCUAGUUGAAGAUUAGGUGAUACUUUAGUUGUUAUAUGGAUUGGGAGACUUGAUCAAACAUUGUUUAACUUUUGGUUGUUCAAUAUUCGUGCAAUUUCAUGCUUGAUUUCAAUAUUGCUUUGUUGUUUAGAUCUGCGUUGACUCUUGAUUGCAAAGUAAUAAUAUGUUAGUUUGGAUGAUUUAAGUCCGUAAUUGCUUGGAUUAUUCAAACAUAAGAAUACUUGGUGUAAAAACUAAGGAUAUUGUAUGAUCUAAUGACAUCUCAUGCGUUUGAGUAGUUAGGAUUGGAUCUCUCUCUUUCUUCAUGCAAUUAACAAUUGUUUUGAUGCCUAAGGCCCAAGGACGUUCCUUGGUAAUUUAUUAAUUAGUAAUUAAUUAGAGGACGUUUCCUAAUUGAUUUAAUCAUAAGGAGAGACAUGGUGGUGAGAAGCGUCUUCCAUCUCCAUAACUAAUCUAUUGAAUCAAUCAAAAGAAACUAAGUGUCAAUGAUCAAUCCCAACAACUGAAGUGGAUCCAAUUCUUCAACUAGAGCUUUCUUAUUAUUUAUUUCUCUUUUAUUUUAUUAUUUGCUUAUUUUAAUUGCUUUCAGUAGUUUGUUAAUCAAAUCAAUCUCAAAUCCCUUCUCCAUUUUACUUUUACUGCAAUUUAUUUUUAUUCCGCUUUCAGAUUUAUCUCGUUUCAGUUUUAUCUCGUUUUAGUUUAUUUCUCUUUCAGUUUAUUUUUGCUUUCAGAUUUAUCUCGUUUUAGUUUUAUCUCGUUUCAGUUUAUUUUGCUUUCCGUUUAUUUCUCUUUCAGUUUUAUCUCGUUUCAGAUUAUCUCAUUUUCAGUUUUCUUCUUUUUCAGUUUAUUUUUGUUUCAGUUUAUUUUAUUGGUUUUGAUAAGGAAAAUAGGUAAGUUCUCAAUUCCCUGUGGAUUCGAUCCUUUCACCACUAUCUGCAGUUGUAAAUUGUUCAUAAUCAGAAAGGUUAUUUUUGACCGGUUUCGACAACCGCGUGUCAAGUACCUAUAGCUUCUCCAAUUCCACAAAGGAGAUUUGGAAGAGUUAGACAACCCUUUGCCAAAUACUUUAGAGACUAGUACGUGUUGCUAACUGAUGAGAGAGAACCAAAAAGUUUUGAAGAAGCUAUGGAAGACGAACAUAAACAGAAGUGGAUUGAGGUCAUGCAAGAUGAGAUAAAGUCCUUGCAUGAGAACAAGAUAUUUGAAAUGGUGAAGCUGCCCAAAGAAAAGAAAGUUUUGAAGAAUAAAUGGGUAUUUAAAAUCAAGCAUGAUGAACACAGUCCCUAUCAUUGAUUCAAAGCCAAAUUGGUUGUGAAGGGUUUCAACCAAAGAAAGGGUAUUGAUUUUGAAGAGAUAUUCUCACUAAUGGUGAAGAUGACAUUCAUCUGAAUAGUAUUAGGCCUAGCCACUACUCUUAAUCUAAAGAUUGAAUAGAUGGAUGUAAAGUCUGCCUUCCUUCAUAGAAAUUUGGAGAGCAGGCAGAAGGUUUCAAGAAGAAAGGAAAAAAAGACUAUGUUUGCAAGCUGAAGAAAAGCUUGUAUGGCUUGAAGAAGGUACUGAAAUAGUGAUACAAGAAGUUCGAGUCUAUCAUAGGGGAACAGGGUUAUAAGAAGACUACUUCAGACCACUGUGUAUUUGUUCAGAAAUUCUCUAAUGGUGAUUUCAUCAUCCUUUUGCUCUAUGUGAAUGAUAUGCUUAUUAUUGGCUAGAAUGUCUCUAGAAUUAACAAUUUGAAGAAGCAACUGAGUAAGCCUUUUACAUGAAUGUCUUAGGGGCCAACAAAGCAGAUUCUUGGCAUGAAGAUAAUAAGAGAUAGAAGUAGUAAGAGGUUAUGGUUGUCACAGGAGAAUUACAUAGAGAAAUUAUUUUAAAAGUUCAACAUGGAGCAUACUAAAGUGGUUUGUUGUCCUCUUGCCAGCCACUUUCAUCUCAAUUCAAAGCAGAAUCCUUUCACAGAUGAAGAGAAUGAAGAAAUGGAUAGGGUUCCUUAUGCUUCAACAAUUGGAAGCUCAAUAUAUACUAUGGUAUGCACACGGUCAAAUAUUGCUCACGCAGUCGGAGUAAUGAGUCGGUUUCUUUCAAAUUCAGGAAAGGAGCACUAAACUCCAGUAAAUUAUAUUAUGAGAUAUCUUCGUGACACUUUCAAACUAUAUUUAUGUUUUGAAGGUAGUAAAUAUGUGUUAGUUGACUAUACAGAUGCAAAUAUAGCCUAUGAUGUUGACUUGAAAAAGUUUACGUCAGGAUAUUUGAUAACAUUUACAGAAGAAUCGGGUCAUGGCAGUGAAAAUUACAAAAGUGUGUUACUCUUUCCACUAUUAAAAUAGAAUUUAUUACAACAACUAAAGCUUGUAAAGAGUUGCUGUGGAUGAAAAUGUUUUUGAAUGAAUUUAGACUCCGGCAAAAAAAAAAAUCAAUUAUUUUGUAGCAAUCAGAGUACUAUUCACCUUGAGGAAAAUGUCAUUUUCCAUUCAAGAUCGAAGUAUAUUAAUAUGAGAUAUCAUUAGAUCAGGAAUGUGUUGAAAAUAAAGUAACUACUGCUUAAAAAGAUCCAUAUAGAAGAAAAUGAAUUAGUUAUGUUGAUCAAAAUUUUACCAAGAGAAAGUUUGAGUAUUGUUGUCUAACAGCUGGAAUAGUGGAACCCUCCAUGUAGUCGGAAGGAGAAAAAUUAUUAGGUAAAUCUCUCCAGCACACAAAUGAUUAUGAAGAUUUAAAAAAAAAAAAAAAGUUUCCAGCCACAAAACUAAUGCUACUAACGUGGCUCUCUUUCCACCAAAUUGACCAAAUCUCCUUUGAUUUUAGGGGUGAGCAUUCGGUGAACCGAACUGAAUUUGAAAAACUGAAAAACUAAAAAUAUUAAAAUUUAAGAUCCAACUAAACCAAUAUUAUAUGAAUAACUGAAUCAAAUCAAACUUAUUUUUAACAGUUCGGUUCGGUUCAAAAAAAUCAAAAGUUUUAUCCAAUAAAUUUCAAUUUGCUUAAUUUCUAAUUUGUUUAUUAUUCUGAGUAUUGUUUUCAAUUAUAUUUAUCAAUUAUCAAACUAAACAAAAAUCAAUUUAGGAAUAUUAAUAUCAAUUUAUUUGCGAGUGCAAUAAAAUUUUUAAACAAGUAUCAAAAAUCAAACAAAAUAAUAUACAAUUUUAUAUCAAUAUUAUUAUUAUUUCAAUCUCUUCCUAUUAACAGUUUUCUCAUCUCAAAUGAAACAUUCCCAAAACUCAAAAGAAAAAAAAUUGUGUAUAGUAAUCCAAAAAAAAGCAUAAACCCUUUACCCACAACAUAUUUUAACAAUUAAUAAAUUAAAAAUUAAAUCCAAAAAAUUAAAAAAUAAAAGGAAAACAAAGCAUCAACCUAAAUAUAUGGAGAACAAUAAUUAUUUCAUAAGUUCACACCUUUCAACCCAAACAAGAAGAAAGUUAUGGAUGUUUUGAUGUGCUUUGGAGAAGUUUUGCGCCAUUGAGCAAAAAAUAGAUCAAGAGGAAUUGAGACAGAAUAAAGGUUGUGCAAAUUGAAGAAGAAGACGAAGACGAAGACGAAGACGAAGACGAAGACGAAGACGAAGACGAAGACGACAACAAAGACGAAGAUGACGAUGAGGGAAGAAACGUAAUCAAGAAGAUGACAACGAUAAGGGGAGCAACGAAAUCAAAAAAAAAGAAGAAGAUUAGAAUCAAUAGAGGGUGUUGAAGACUCAUCUAAAAUAAAAAGAGAGGGGAAAAUGGAAGCGACUAUAAUAGUUAGGGUUAAAACUUAAGAUUCAUAUAUAUAAGACCGGUUUAAUUUUUCUCAUUGAUUUUGGUUAAUUAAUCAAAUCAAACUAAAAAUUAAAAUAAAUAAAAAUUAAUAAUCAAACUAAACUGAAUGAAUUAUUUAAUCGAAUGUAACCGAUCAGUUCAAUUUAAUUCGGUUUAAUCUUUUAGUUUUGAUCGAAAACUGCUUUGUUUUACUUGAUUUGACAAUCAAUUGCAAGAGCAACACUCUUCUCUAUGAAUAGGCAAGAGGCAUUGGGAAUCAAGGAAACACAAGUGCAAAUAGCUUCAGCAAUUUGAGUAUUCUUUGAGGAUUUUGAGAGUUUCAAAGCUUGCAGCUUUGAAGAGAAAAAUAUUGAGAGAGAGUUUAUUUGAAAAGUAAUAAAAAUAGUAUGAAAAAUAUAUUGAAUAUUUUAGAAAAGACUUUCAGUGAUAUUAUUUUUGGAUAGAUUUCACUUGUAGCUCUUUUUUUAUACCUGCUAUUUAUAAUAAUGAAAAAUUAUUUAUAAUUUAACCUUUGAUUAUAGGUCAAAAUUAAAAAUUAAAUCAUAUUAAAAUUAUCGUGUGCUAUUUAUUUAUUUUUUUAUAAUAUUUUAUUUUUAUUAUUUUAAAAACAAUGUUUUUCAACACAUUAUUCUCCCAUUAAUUAACUCAUUUCCAAACAUGCAGUUUUUCCAUUGUAGCCUCCUUAGCUUUCCUCCUUCUUACCUUUUCUUAUCCUUUCAUUGAUUACUCUUUUCUUACCUCGUUCAAGCAUAGUCUAAUAUUCAUCUUAUGAAAAGCAAAGGAGUCGAAUAAUAAACAUUUGGGCUUAUCUAAUGAAUUUUAAAAUUAAUAAAAAAAAUUUUUUAAAUUUUGAAGGUUUUUAGUAUAUAUUUCAAAAUCAAGAUAUUAUCUAAUGAAUUUUAUUAUAUUGUGUGAUUAAAUAAUAAUUUUUUUUUUCUUUAAUAAACUCUUUGAAGUAUCAUAAAACGACACUGUUUUCGUUCUUUCAAUAUUUUCGAUUGGCCUGGAGAAAGAGAAAUAAGACUCGGCCCUCACCAGAAGUUUCAAUAGACACACAAGGGACACCUCUCACAAGCAAUUGCUUCCAUAGAUUCGAGACUCCCAUCACUUUCGGUGAGUCUCUCUCUACCUCUCCCUCUCCCUCUCUAUUAGGGUUUCUUUUCUCAGGUCGCAUCAUCCUCUGUUUUGUCACUGACACACAGUAUCAGACGGAUGUACAUUGAUUUUGAUUUCACUUUACAGUGAUUGAUUUUUUGUUCGUUUAUUGAGGGGUUUUUAUGGGGAUAUAUUUAUGAAGUGGGUCUUGGUAGAAUUUUGAAUCUGAUAUAUGAAAUAUUAGUUGAGGAAUUUUAUUCCGUUGAAGGGUGAUGAUGAGUUGGUGAAAUAAGGGUCUGGGUAAUUCUAGGUAUGCACAAAAAUCUGUCUAAAAACCUUGUAGAAUGAUUCUUUAGGAAUUUGUCACAUGGAUUUCAAGGAUUUAGAAUGGGAACUGGAUUUUUUGGCAGUUGAUUAGAGAUUUUUAAUAUUUUAGCUGUUCAGUUUUGUUGUAUUGGCCUUGAAAAGUAAUGCUCGGUUUGUUUUUGUAUUACUGUUUCUUUGUGAUGUUAUUGUAAGGAAAUUUGCAGUUGAAGGAAUGGUUGAGAUAAUAUUUGUGAUUAGUAGUCAGAAACCCCACUGUCUGGUGUACAAUAGAAUAGCGGGUUUGUACCUAAGUUCCCUGAUGUGGAUGGCUUUUGUUUGGAACAAAAAUGAGAAAACGUAAUGUCUUUUCUAGAAAUGCAGCAUUUUCGUGGAGACGAAAUAUUAUCCAGUUUGCAUAUGUAACAAAAUGUAUAAAAUACCAUAUAAAAUGCAUUGAAAGAUCUAUGCAAGUACAAUAAUUUAGUCGCAGUUUUUUUUUCUUUUGUAAAAAAAAUCAUUAUACUACUUAAUGCUAUAAAGCACCUGCAAGCCAGAACUUACAGCAUAUAAUGAUAAUAGAAAAACUUCAUUUGAGGUUUUUAUUCCUUUGUGAUUGUUUAUCAAUUCAUAUUUGUUUCAAUAUGUUAUUUUUAUUGUUUCACAUCACUAUUGAAUCUGGAUCAUGUGAUCUGGAGUCAUUUUGCUAGAGGAGGUAGAGGAAGGUGGUAACUUUGGAUUGUUCAGUUAUUCUUAUUUUGCUCAUGACAUUUGGUUGUAUGGACUUGUUGGCUUUUUUUUUUUGAAAUACAAAGAUUGAGAAUUGUUAAUAAAGUAGCUGAUAAUUUUGGUACCAUAUACUAGUUGAUCAUUGCUACUAUGCCUUGUAUGAUGUAUCUUCUCUUUGUGCAUUUUGCUUUUUCGAUCAUUUGCACUAUUCAAACAAUAACCUAAUCCAACCUGGUCCCACCCAUUUGCCAGUUGACUAUAAGCGUAAGAAUAUGGUAAUUGAUUCCUUAAUGUAUUUGCUGUGAAUAAUUGAGUUAGUUAUAACUUGUUUUAUCUAAUGGAGUGGAAUAAUUUCUAGCAAUAGAAUGAUUAGAUAAUUUCAAAAUUAAUUUUUAGAAUGAUUCUGUACUGUAAUUAGGUAAGUUAUUUGUUUUAAUUUAUAGAAUGAUUAGAUAAAUUUUGCUAAAGGUAUAAUUUGUUUAAGUUACAAGGGAAAAUGAAAAAACUGAAAAGAAAAAAGAAAAAAAAAAAAGAAAUAUUUCUAGUGAGCCUGAUUAAUAGAAAACAAAGAAAAUUUUCUGGACUGAACCUUAUUUUGAUGUUAAAAAGGAAAAGCCUGUAAACAACUUAAUGUAAACCUCUGAUCUGGUUGAGGAAUAAACAACUUCUUAUGUCAUUUCUUUUUUUGCACAAGUAUUUACUUUAUUGAUAUUAUGGGGAAAAGAGUAAUCUUUGAAGUAUUUUCAUUGGAGAACAUAAUAUUAAUUUUGCCAUCUGAGAUCCAGAAAAUAGGAUUUCUAGUACGUGUGUGUAAGCUUGAGUCCGGGAAGGUGCCCUCCUCCCUUUAUCCUUUUCCUUUUGUCUAUCUCAUAGCUACAGUACCGCCUGUCUCUGUCAUACAGACCCGUACGUACAAAAGCGUCAGACGUCUGCCUCACACCAGGCGGCCAUUUAAUUCCCCUCGGCGCGCGCGUAGACAGGGCUGCGAAGGGACGGGGCCUGCUCGUUUCUCUCCAGGUCCUAUCAUCGGGCCGGCUUCCUUCUUACCGGGCUCGGGCUUGCAAACGACUCGGCCUAUCAUUCAGGCUGGACUCCGGGCCGAAGCCGCUGGAUAGGCCCACCUAGGAGUGUUCCGAUCUCAAGGCCUGAUCUGCUUUUAUGGGCCCCGACUCAGCCCAAGUAGGUGUGAGGCCUAGUGGUUAUCACCAUUAUUCUUUCUUUUUUCUUCUCUCUGAUCAAGUUUGUUUUAAACAAGCUGUAGCUCUAAGAGGGAAAAAGUAGAAAAAGUUUAAGGGAAAAAGUAGAAAAAGUUUAUGGCUAUGUGCCAUUCAUUGAAGGAAAGAAAAAAGCAAAUGAAUGUUUCUGGGUGGGUGACCAAUUUUUGUAUGUAAGAACUUUUAUUCAUUUCAUAGUAUACAUGUAAAACCUAUAAAAAAAUUUCUUCCGCAUUAUAGACAACCUUUUGUCCUUAUAAUUAUUGCUGAUUCUAGAGUAUGAUAAGAGGAUAGGCCUUAAAGAAUAGGUUUGUUAAGGAUAAUCUUUAGACAGAUAAUUUAAGUGAUAAAAUGUAUUGAGUUAGGUUAAGGUUAAGCUGUGUAUGUAUGCAUAGACUAGGUUCUUUUGAUAAUUUCCUCUCCUUGCAUGAUAAUUUAGAAAUCUAACUUUAAAAGUAUGACUAAAUAAUCUCUUUUCCAAGUAUUCUAUUCUCAGUCUCAAUUUUAGCAUAUGUUAUCUGCUCUCUAAAUGUCAGCUUUUUUAAAUAUUUUAGUGCAUCAUGGAUUCAUGGUACUGCCAUCUCCAUCCUUGAUCUCCAGCUUUUGUGCUGUGCUGCUGCUGUGUUUCACAGCUAGGAUUUGAUUUUUGUUUUAUAUUUACUAUUUGAUAUAUAAUCUAAUAAUGGAAUACUUGUUUUUUUUAGGAUUUUAUAUAGUUGUAUAACUUUAUUUCCCCGUCAUCUAUAUAUAUAUAUAUAUUACUAUGACUAUUUAUAGAUGGACUCUGAUGGUAUUGAAGUGAUUCUUGAAUAGUAACAAUCUAACAUUAAAAGGGGAUAUGAAGAGGAAAAUGAAUAUUAUAAUAGGCCAUGGUUUAUGUGGUUAGUAUUUAAGAUUUCUCUUUCAUGUUUUGAGUUUUUUCUUUUGCAGUUUGAGCAUGGCAGCCAAGUAUAUCAUUCCUGGUGUUAUUGGAUCAUUUGCAAUAGCAUAUUUAUCUGACCUACUUAUUGCUGACAAGAAGAUAUUUGGAGGUAAAUUAUAUCAUCUUCUUGGAUAUGUUUUUGAUGCCUGUUGCUGUGUUUUUGUUUUCCCACUUAUUUUUCAAAUUUUCCCAACUUAGGCACUACCCCUAAAACUGUUGCAAGCAAUGAAUGGUGGGAAGAAACUGACAAGAAAUUCCAGGCAUGGCCUCGUACUGCAGGGCCACCAGUUGUCAUGAAUCCAAUCAGUCGCCAGAACUUCAUCGUGAAGUCCCGCGAAUCUUGAAUCAAAAUUUAGCUGGUGAUCUGUUGGGUUAUUGAUUGAUAAUACUUUUAUUGAUAAUGUUUUGUCUGGUUUUAGUACUUAAAACAUUGCCACAAUUAGCUGAGAUGGGACCUUUAUUUCUUUUUAUUUGCUUACUCUUCAUGGAAAUAAGUUUUGAUUGGCAAUUGCUUUUAAAAGAAAAUAAAUGUAAAUGAAGGAUUCAGCUGUGGUUAAUGAAUUCCUUGGCUCAAACAGCUCAUUGCCUUGUUUUUGUUUUCAGUUGCUUGUUAGCAACAAUAACUUCCUUUUUUUCUUUUUUCUUUUUUCACUUCCAAUGGCCUUACCAGGCUAGGGCAGUUAAUUUUUUUUCAGUUGGAAUAUUUAAAAUGAAACAGUGAAUGAACAAAAAUUAUAAAAAAUUAGGAUAUUAAUAUGUUUAAUUCCCAAAGGACACAAUGGCCAUUGCAUUUAACUGUUAAGAAUCAAGAUGGUUGCCGGCACCAGAUCGCAACAGCACAAGUGCUGCAGCUUUAUAUUAUAUACAAAUCAGUUAGUUACCAACUCCUCAAGUUCAUUUAAGAACUAGUCGUUUCCUCGUUUGCCUGCACAAUAUUAAAAUAUUUUAUAUUAUUAUUAUAUAAAAUAAUAUAAAAUUAUUUUAUAAAAUAAUAUAUUUUUUGUAUGAAUUUAUUGAUUUAUUAAGAGGAGUAAAAUAUUUUAUUUUUUUUAUUCAAAUUUGAAAUUUGAAACUAUUUAUUAAUGGGAAUAAAUUAUAAUAUUUUAUUUAUUUAUUAGAAUUUAAAAAUAUUAUAAAAAACUAUUAAUUAAAUAAAUAAGAUAACUGUAGAAGAGAAUUAUAAAUUCAAUUAAUAAAUAUAAUUUUUAAUUUUAGAGCAAAAUUUUAAAGAUUUUAAAUCUUAAUCAAAUAUAAAACUAUACAUCAAUAAAUUUAAUUGUAUUAAAAAAAUUAAAAAUUUUAUUACUUUAUUAUUAUAUAUUAUUAAUAUUCAAUAACAAAUUUCAUUUGAGGAAUUAUUUUUUAAAAAAAAAUAAAAUUUAUUAAACUUCAAUACUAAAUAGCCGUGGCAGCAGAUGAUGGUAGCCGUGGAGCUGUGGAGAAAGAGAAGUACUUGAAUCAAAAAAUCUCAACAUUUAGAUACCUCUUAUUCAACUUUCAAAAUUUCAAUACUUGAAUAACUCUUAUUCAAUUUUUAUUUAUUUAAAAGUUUAAGUAAGUCGAUUGUUAAAAGUUUAUAAUUAAAGUAUUAUAAACACUAUUUUAUUUUUUUAUUAUAUUUUAAUUAUUUAUGUAUUUUUAUUUUUUAUAUAAAUUAUUUGAAUAGAAUAAAAUUUUAAUUUAAUAAUAUUUUAUACAAUUAGUUGGAUUAAUUCUUUAAUUGUUUUAUACUUUAUCAGAAUUAAUAUUUUUUAUAAUAAUUUUAAUUGAUUAUAUAUAUUUAUUUUAUAUAAUUAUUUAUAUUAAAAAAAUAAAAACAUAUAACAUUUAUUAAUUAGAUUAUAUUAGAUAUGAUUUCAAAAAAUUAUCAAAUCAAUAAAAAAAUUUUACAUAAUAUUUUGUUAUGGACUAUACAUAUAUAUAUUUACAGUGAUUUAUUUGUAUUAUUUAAACAUAUUUUUAUAUGAUAGGUACUUAAUUUUUAUAAAUAUAUUUUUAAUAUUAUAUUUAUUAUUAAAAUAAAAAUAUAAUAAUUUUUUAAUAAUAAAGCAUAAUAAAAUUUUUAUUACAAUAUUAAUAAUAUAUUAUAUUAAAAAAUAGUAAAAAUCAAAAUAUUAAUAAUAAUCAGUAUAAUAAAUUAUAUUUAUUGUAUCAAAAAGUUAUACAUUAACUGUGAUAAUAAAAAUAAUAAAUCAUAUUUAAUAUAUAUUAAUUAUUAUUUAUGUAGAAAAAAAUUAUAAAUGUAUGAAAAAAUUAUAAAUUUACGCUAUAUAUAAUAUAAUUUACGUAAGGUUAAUGGUGCACUUAACAAUCUCUUAUACAUUUGUUAUUAUUAUGAAUCAAUUAAUUAAUAAUGUUAGUUAUAUUUUUUUUCAAUUUAUUUAUUACUAAAAAUAAAAAUAUUAUUUUAAAGUUUAUUUUAUUGUAAUUAAUAUAUUAUAUUAAAAAAUUUAUAAAAAGUUAAAGGUCACAUAAUAAUAAUAAUGAUAAAAAAUUUAAAAAAAAUCAUAUAUAAAUUGUAAUAUUCUCCAUUUAUUAUGGAGAUAUUGAUUAAUCAUGUACUAAUAAUAAUGACAGAAAAUUAAAAAGUCAUAUAUAAAUUAUAAUAAUAAAAAUAAUAAUUUUUAUUUAUUAUAAAAAUAUUGAUUCGUAACGUUAUUAAAUAUGAAAAAAUAAUUUAAAAAUAUCUAAAUAUAACACUUGUCAAUCUCUCCCUAACCUAUUUUAAAAUCCAGAUAUAUAUAUAUAUAUAUAUGAAAUGACAUGAAACUUGGAAUUAUAUAUGAAAUGACAUGAAACUUGUAACAAGAAUUCCAACAGCUACUGGCAAAAUAAUUCCUUUUAUUUUCAGUUUUAAUUCAUCUGUCUUGCUUACUGCCAAAGAGAUGGCAGAACUUUAUCCUUUUGCAAUAUCACUUAAAUGAAUUGAAGAAUCAAACAUCCCAAUUUCUAAGAAUGGCUAAAAUACAAACAUCUUAAUUUAAGAGUUCACAAGAUUUGAAGAAAAGUAUGAUGGAACUUCAUUCAAAAAGAAGCUAUAAUUCAUUGUUCACAUAUAUUUCCAACAAGAAAUUUCAAAAUCAGAAGCUAAGCCAUUACAAUUGCAGACCUAAUAUGCAACAGAAACUCAUGGAGAGAUCUUUCAAAUUGAGCAGCCUCUUGCAUUAACCCACCACCUUUUCUCUCUCCAACAUGAGAACUUCAUAAUCUUCCUUUGCUCAUUAACAUUUUAGAACCAACAUUUACAGACUCCUCCUUUAGCCUCUAGGCGACAACUUCCAAAAUGAAAUGAAUAUUUAGGAAAAGUUUCCAUAAGAUGAGCAUUUUACCAGAAUCAUGAUCAACAGGUUCAGUAUGCAGAUAACUCAUGAGAAACAUCCAUCAACUUUGCUUUAUUUCUUGAAGCAUUUCAACUACCUUCUUCAUUUUUGGUCGCUUUGCCGGAGUGCUGUCCGUGCAGAGUAAUGCCACCUUAAGAGCUGCCAGCAUUUCUCUCCUCCAACCAAAGGAAACAGUGCUGAGUUUUGCAUCAAGUAUCUGCUCUGGAGUCUCUCCUCUUGCUGGAGCUCCAUGAACCCAUUUCACCAAAUCUACCCCUUCACCAAAGUCCUCAUCAACCGGCAGUCGAGUUGUUAAGAUCUCAAGCAAUACUACCCCAUAGCUAUAGACAUUUCCUGGUGCUGUAACUUGCAUUGUAUAUGCAUAUUCUGGAUGAUAUAAAAAUAUAAUAAACAUGAGAGAAAAAAAAAAUUCCCAUAUAUAAUGUGCGUUUGAAUUAAUCCGGCUAACCAAAUCUAAGAGAUAUUAGCUAAAGAAUUUGGCAACAAAGACUUCAUAGGCUGGUCAGGAGACACUUCAAAAUGUUGUUCAUUUUGAAUUCUUUCAUGCAGGCUAGAUAAACCAAAGCUCUAUUUUGGUAAACAAAAUAACAUACGGGCAAAAAACAGAGGAAAACAACUAGGAAUUGAUGAAAAUACUGCAUCAUGAUAUAAUUAAAUGUUCAAACAUACAGAAAAAAAAAAAAUAAAUAAAUAACAGUAGACACCUAUGAAACUACUAGUUUGAGAAUGAUUGAGCUCCAAGCAUAUAGAAUCAAAACAAUAUACCUGGUGGAAUAUAACCGAAGGAGCCUGCAACUGCACUUAUACUUGCAGUGCCUUUGGAUGGAUCUAGGAGCUUUGAUAUCUCAAUCUCCCCAACCAAGGGCCUGAAGUCAGCAUCUAAAAGAACAUUCCCUGAAGAAAUGUCAAGGUGGAUUACUGCCACAUGAUGAAGGAAAGCCAAUCCUUCUGCUACUCCUAUGGCAAUGGAUAGCCUAGUAGGCCAGUCAGGUUCAUACUCGGGUUGCUUGCUACUCUCGUGAACAAGCUGAGCUAAUGUCCCAUUGGGUAAAUAAUGAUGCAGCAAAAGAGCAACAUCUUCAUAAAUUACAUAUCCAAUAGGUCUCACCAAAUUAUCAUGACAGAGCUUACUCAGCCUUUCAAGCUCUCUAAUCAUCUUAUUCUGAUGAUGAAUUAUAGUCCUGUCCAUUGAUUUAAGUCUCCUCACAGCUAAUAUCAUCCCAGAAGGCAUGACUGCUUUGUAAACGAUGCUGAAUGUUCCAUUUGUGAGCUUAUUUGAAUCCUUGAGAGUUGCUUUAACAACAGCAUCAAAAUCUAUUGCUUGUCUGAGAUUUUCAACAAAGACAUGGCCUGCUAAUAUCGUUGGCCGGUCGUUGGCUACAUCAUCAGCAACCCCUGCAGUUUUGGCAUCUUUUUCUUGUCUUUCCCUCAUCAUAAACAGCAGGACAACUACAGUUACCGAGACAAAUACUGCUAAACCAGAACCAAUAACAGCUAGUAUAAUUCUGUAAGAAACCUUGUGAUGGUAAUUCACAUGACCAGAAGCAUAAGAAUUUCCACAUAAGAUGCUCAAUGGAUCUCCACAGAGCCCUUUGUUACCCAAAAAACUUGAAUUUGGACUCUUUUGGAAAGGUGCAAAAGUGGGUAUUGGGCCACUGAGCAGAUUAUUUGAGAAAUUAACCUCUAUCAAGCUCAACAUGCCUUUGAAUGAUUGAGGAAUAGUACCAGAAAGUUGAUUAUUGGAGACAUCCAAAGAAACCAAUUUGUCAAGUUUCCCCAAUUCAGGGGGCAGUGGUCCUUGGAGAUGAUUGUAGCUCAAAUUUAAGGCUAUUUGUAAGUUCCGAAUGCGACCAAUCUCUGGAGGGAUAUGUCCAGUCAAAUAGUUGCUGCCCAUUUGCAAUUCCAGAAGUUUCAUGCAGUUCCCAAUCUCAUGAGGUAUCUCACCUUUUAUUGAAUUCUGACCCAAAAGCAAGUAUUGCAAUCUUGACAUGUCACAGAUUUCGUUCGGUAUAGAGCCAUUUAAUUUAUUAUUGCUAACAUCCAGCUUGUUAAGACUCUUGCUCCCAAGAAUUGGUUUUGGAAUAUCUCCAAACAAAUUGUUACCUGAAAGGAUCAAUUCCUGCAAAUUUGCAAGCUGUCCAAGCUCAGAAGGAAUGACUCCACUAAAUCCAUUUGAGGCCAGAUUUAGAAGAGUGAGAUUAGAGCAUUGAGAAAACUCUGAGAUAAUAUCACCAGAUAAAUGAUUAUCAUCUGCUUCAAAAUAUGUGAGGCCACUAACAUUCCCAAUUGUCUUAGGAAGAACUCCUUCAAGAACAUUGUUGCCGAUUCGGAUGCUAGAAAGGCCCCUGCAGUUUCCAACUAAUUCAGGAAGUCCUCCACUAAAUCCAUUCUGGGUAAGAACUAAAACUUCCAACUUUCCCAUCACAAAAAUGCUACUAGGUAUAGGCCCUCUAAGCUGGUUUGAGUGAAGGUUCAACAACUUCAACUCAGAAACCGAACCGAGAUUAUCAGGAAUUUCACCACCCAAUUCAUUCUCAUAGGCUGUGAAAACUCUCAGGCUUGUCAAAUUACCCACCCAAGAUGGAAUAGAGCCAUUGAUGUUAUUACUAGAAAUUUGAAAUUCCUCUAAGCUUUCUAGACCCUCAAGCUCAUCAGGUAUCUCUCCUACUAGCAAGUUAUUGGAAAGGUUCAGUGAUUUAAGGCUUCUAAGACUACCCAACUCCAAGGGAAUCAAACCUUCAAACUUAUUUAAAGACAAAUCAAGGAACUCAAGCUGUGACAAUUUGCCAAAGGCUGAAGGAAUUAGACCAUGAAAGUUAUUGCCAGAAAGAUCAAGCCACGUCAAAGCUUUGAGCUCAGAGAUCAUGGUCACAUUACCUUGAAGGUCUAGCCUAGGAAGAGCAAGCCUUUCAACCAAUGAUUGAUUCAAGUUGCAUCCAAUGCCACGCCAGUUGCAGAAAUUUGUGCCGUUGUCACCCCACCCAGGAACUUUAAUCUCUUUAUUAAUGAGUAACAGUGUAGCUUGAUCAUUGAACUGAGCAGUCACUAGCUGGGACUUCGAUAGAAACCCAACCAGCAAAAGAUAAGACAAGCACAAAAUUGCCAUUAUUGAGUCCUAUUUCUUUCUGGAUUAAGCGUGCUUCAAUGCAAGAACUCAAAUUUUCUUCACACACCAGCUGAGGAACAUUACUAUGUACAAAAAUCAAACUUCCCCACAAUGAUAAAAUUUCUCUUUGGAUCAAAGAAUCAGAAUUUAAAAUAAACCCACUUCAGUGAAGAAUCAGAACUUAGAGCCAAAAGCAACUGACAAUGUUUCAGUUUCACCAAAAAAAAAAAAAAGAAGAAAAACCCAGAAAUGCAAACCCCAAUUCACCGUCCAACAUUUCAAAGAAAACCCAUUUAACAGAAUCGAAAGAAAUGCAAAAUGGACAAAUCCCUCUGAUUUAGGAGCAGAGGGAAAUGCUUGAAUCAAAGAAAUGUAAUGAAAAACCAAAGACCCAAGUCGAAGGAAGACAAGAGAGCUAAAACAAGAACAAGAAAACAAAAAGAAGCAUAACAAUAGGCCUGCAUUAUAGAACAUGGGCUGUAAAUGCAUCCAUUCAAAUAAACCACAAAGACCCAGAAGAAAACAAGAAGAAAAACACUCGAGAGGGUUAUGCAAGUGAAAGAAAAUGCAGAAUAGAGAAGCAAGAAAAGAGAGGAGAAAAGAUUGAUAUCUACUGAUGUCUCUCACGUAAAGGCUUAUUGUUGAGGAGAAAAGAGCAGUGAUGGUGGCGUGAUGAGUGAAUGAAGGCUGCAAAAAAAUCUCUCCUUUACUGUGAGACUGAAACUAUUAUGAAGGUUUUGAUAGUUUCAAGGACACAGAAGCUAUUUUUGCUGAGUUUAUUUUCUGUAUGAACAUUACAAUGAAGGGGCAGCCCCACCUUUUCUUUGGACGGUGAUGAUAAUGUCUAUGCUUUGCUUCUACUGUGUUUCUUUUUAACUUAUUUACAGCCCAAUGGCUUCCCCUUUUCAUUUCCAUAAAAAAAUAUUUUUGAAAUUUUUUUUAAAACGGAAAUUGAAAACGGAGAGAAUUUGAGAUUUUUUAAUUUUAUUUUAUGAUAAAAUUAAAUUUAUGAAUGUAAUUUUUUUUUAAUAUUUAAAAUAUAUUUUUUAUAAAAUUUAUUAAUUAAUUGAUAUUUGAUAUUAUUAUAAAAUUAAAUUUUUUUAUUUUAUAAAAAAAAUCAUUGACCUCUUUAAAUAUUUAUACUUUUUAUAAUUUUUAAUUUUAUAUAUUAUUCAAUUUAUAUAAUUUUAAAUAUCUAUAUUAACACUAAUAUAUAAAUUUAUUAAAUUUUUAUUUUUAAAUUACAACUUAAUGAAAAAUAAAUUAUUUUGUUAGAAUAUAUUUUUUAUAAAAACUAUUUUUUAAAUAUAAAUAUUUUCAAAAAAUAUAAAUCCAAUCUAAAAAUAUUAUUUAAUUUUAUUAUGUACAAAAUUUGAAAAAUUAACAAUUAGACAUAAAACAUAAUCAUUCUUCUUAAGAAAAUAUUUUUUUGUUUAUUGACAAAAUUAAAAAUAAUAUGGUUUAUGUAACUGAGUCCAAUACUGUGUUUAUUGAACUUAUUAAAUACACUAAUUUAUCAAUUUAAUUUAAUUCUUUUCUAUUAAAUUUUUAUAUAAAAUGAAAAAUUAUUUUUUAAAAUUUAUAUAAUUUUUUAUUUCUAAAUAAAAAAAUUAUAUAGUUAUUUUAGUAUGUGAACAUUUAGUUUCUUUUUAAAGUAGAUAAUUUUACUAAACUGCAGGACCAAAUAUUAAAUUUUCUAAAAUUAACCAUAUUUUAAACUUCUUUUAAAGAUAAUCACAGGACGACAGCACUGUAUCAAAAGAAAACGCGACAACCCGCUUACAUUCAAACAAGUGGCGAGUUGUUAAAGGGCCAUGUCCUUAGUUUCGUCGGAUGGUUUGCAUGUCCUAUCACAGCACUGUAACUGUAUAAAAUACUUUGUUUUGUUUUUCGAAGACUACACUUUGUCCUCUAAUUGUUCUCGUGUUGUCAUUCUUCCAUUUAAAAUAUAUUAUUUCAACAUAAUUAUUUUAAGUAUAAUUAAUAAUUGGCUGCAUACCAAAUUUGACAUUGUUAAAUUGGUGUAAUAUAAGAAUAUUAAUGAGAAUUAUUUAAUUAAAUAUAUAAAUAAAAAAUUGAAAGAUUUUUCGUACAUAUUAAAAUUAUAUAUAUAUAGCUCAUUUAUUGGAACACAAAUAAUUCCAAAUUAGUUGAAAUCGAUUGUAUAAAUCUUUAUUGUCAUUAUUAUGCAUAAAUCCUAUCAAAUUGAUGAAAAAUGUAUUUGUGAAAUAUUCCUUUGCACCAAUUUUUGUGCUAUUUAAUUUGUUUUCUUGUUAUAUAUCCAGCUUUUUUUUUAAUUAAAGAAAAUUUUUUUUUGAAUCAAUAAUUAAAGAAAUUUUUAUUGUUUCAAUUUUAAAAAAAUAUAAAAAAAUUUAAUAAUUAAUUUCUUUAUUAAUUUUAACCGUUAAAUAUUGUAAAAAAAAAAUUAGAAUAAUUCUAAUAGGAAUGAACUAAUUAUUAAAUUUUUAAAAAUUUAUAAAAUCAACUAAUAAAUUUUUUAAAAUUAUAGAAAUUAAGUAGUAAAAUAUUUAAUGGCAAAAAUAAUGAAAAGACUAAGUAAUAGAUCUUUUAAAACGUUAGAGAGAUUUUAAUAUAUUUUUUAAAAAUAACUAAUUAAUGGAUGUAACGAUUCAGAAAUCGAACCGCUAUUGGCACUAAAAUUCAGAUUAACUUAAGGUCGCCGAAACCUAUAGCAAACCUACUAUACAUCUUGGGUACCUGUUAAAAUCUCAUACAUAAUCAUAAAUUAUCAUAAAAAUUUAAACAUUUCAUGAAAUCAAGCUCAACUUGUACAUGUAUCAUACUGAAAAUAUAAAACUCAUACUAGAGCCCUCAUCAAAUGCUAGAAGUUAACAUCACAUACCUCAAGUUUAAUCCAAAUAUAAUUCAUAAUUAAAAAUUUUUACAUACUGAUCAUGUUAACAGGGAUUACAAAGGUAAAGAAAAUUAGGGCCAAGCACAAUUCUAAUCCAUUAAACAAUACAUGUCCAUAACUAUUCUAUUACAUCAAACUAUACAAGCUAUUAUGCCGACUUCCCGAGCUAUCCUUGAUCCUGCAAACCUGGGGUUAGGGGAAAUGGAUAACCUAUAAGAGCCUAGUGAGCAGAACAUAAAAACAGUUUAAUAAACAUAUACUCGUAUGAAUGCGUCACAACACAAACAAUUCACAUCAAGAUGGACUUGUCACCAGUAACCCUCUACAUAAUCCAAUGUGCUCGGCCCUCGACGGUGUAAUACCCGGCUAGACCCCGACAUUGGAAUUCCUAUUUUCCGGUAGAAUCUCGGAUGUCGGAAACCCUCUAGAAGGGAAAAAUCAUGUUUUUAUAAAUGUUUUUAUGGUUUUAAGUAACAAAGAAUUGAGUUUUGAAAGAAAAAGGACAAAGGAGAAAAAUCCAGGUUCGGCCGCCAAACUUGGUGGAGUUGCGGAGGCACUUUUGGCUUCCGAAGGUGGUCUGGCCAGCCACCUAUAAAAGGCCUCCUGUCCGAAAAUGGGCGAGUUUUCUCUCUCUAUUUUCGGGCAAGGUGAGUCUCCGCCACCCCUUUGAUGAUUUUGUGUUUUCUCCUCAAAUCCUACAAGUUUUUAACAAGUUUUAGCUUGGUUUUGAAGUUUUUAAGCAAAGAUCGAAGUUUGGAAGCUUGGAGACCUAGGGAACCCGUUUUCCCCAAAUCUCCAAGCUGGGUCACGUCUUCUCUCGAUCUUCAAGAGGUAAGCGUCGAUCCUCGCCUCCUUCGAUGUCUUAAGUAAGUUUUAUGAAGGUUUAUGGGGUAGAAAUGCAUGUUUAGGUUAGUUGUAAAAAUGUUAGUUUAAGGAUAAAUGUAUGCUAAAAUGAGUUGCUAUAUUGAUGUUUGUUGGGGUUUAGGUUAGUUUUAUGCCCCUAUAUGCUUGAGAAUGGGUUUAUGCAUGUUGUAGAAUAGCCAAAUGCAUGUUUGGAAGGUUAGGGAGGCGUAAAUGUUCAUAAGGGCUGAGUUCUGCCAUUUCUGGAAGAACUCAGGUUCAGCAGCCGAAGGCACUUUCGGCCGCCGAACCUACCUGUGGUGGCACUUUUGGCCGCCUAAGCUUGCCCCCGAAAGUUUGGACUUUCGGCUUUGGAGGGCAGUUUCGGCCGCCGAAGGUGCCGCCGAACAUGCAUGAGUUUCGGAUCUGGAAGGAACCUUCGGCCGCCGAAGGUGCCGCCGAAGGUGCAUGGCUUUCGGCUUUGGAGGGACUUUCGGCCGCCGAACUUGCCGCUGAAAGUGCCAUGUUCAGCCUUCCUUUGCAUGUUUUCUAUGAAUGUUUUAUGAUGUUUUAGGGGGUUUUUGGGGAGUUGUUUAGAGUUAUGUUAGUGUAUGUUUGGUCCCUCAUUUGAGUCCACCUGUGUAGGUUCGGACCCGAGGAACCGAGGACCCCAGUAGUGAGAUAGCUGCUUUUCAGUCAGUUCAGAGUCAGCCAGAGGUGAGUAGAACUAACUAAUCUCUUAUUUCAAGAAAUUAAAUAUUUUAAGCAUGAUUCAUGCAUUAUGAUAUAUAAUAGGUUGAUUGCAUUAGAACUCACGAAUAUGACGCAUUGCAUUAUUCAUUAUGGGUGUGGAUGGACAACAGGACGACUCACUAGCCCUCUAGAUUUUCAUUGUAUGUAACAGAAGUCCUGAGGAGCCCCACCGAGGGCCGGACACAGAGCUUAUUGUAUGUAACAGAAGUCCUGAAGAGCUCCUUCGAGGGCCGGGCACAGAGUAGAGGGAAUUUUGGGUCAAUUCAUCCGUGAUGUGAAUUAAUUGUGUUGUGAUGCAUUCCAUGAAAGCAUGUUUUAUAUUAAUCUUUUAUUAUUCUGCUCACUGGGCUUUUUAGCUCACCCCCUCCCUUAACCCCAGGCUUGUAGGUUCAGGAUAGACCGGGGAGUCUUCGAGGCUAAAGGUUGUUUAUGUAAUAGUUUUAGUAUGGACAUGAUUUGUGAAAUGUUAUAAAGUGUAAUGUAAUAUAAAGAGAUGAGUAUUAGUAUUGUGCUUGGCCCUAUGGUCUGUUGUAAUCCCUUUUAUACAUGAUCUGUUUUUGUUAAUGUUUUAAUGAUGUUGGUGUUGAACCAAGCUUGUCUUAUGAGAUGUGGACCCAACUAGAGCAUUUGAUGAGGGCUCUAGUAUGGGGUUUAUAUAUGACAGGUAUAAUGUAUGCGAGACAGGCUUGGUAUAUGGAAAAGUUUAAAAUUUUUAUGUAAAUAUAUGAUCAUGUAUGAGAUUUUAUCAGGUAUACAGGUUGCAUGUUAGGCUUGCUACGGGUCCCGGCGACCUUAAGUCGAUUUGGAUCCUAGCGCUGGUAGCGGUCCGGUUUCCGGGUCGUUACAGACGGAGCUUCUCAAGAUUUUCGCUUAAACAUAACAUAACAUAUCCAUAAUGCUAGGGGCGUAGAAUGGACCUCACCUGGACUUUCCCUUACAUAUUGUCAGGGGCGUAGAAUGGGCCUCACCUGGACUUCCGUAUCGUAUCGUAUCGUAUCAUAUCAUCUCGAGGGCUAGUGGGUCAUCCAAUAUCCAUCCACAUUAACAAUAAAUUAUGCAGUGCAUCAUAUUCGUGAAUUCUAAUGCAAACAUCCUAAUGCAUAAACAUGGCAUUCGUGAUACAUAAACAUGCUUAAAAGUUUUAUUACUUUAAAACCAUAGAUUAGUUUAGUUUUACUCACCUCUGGCUGACGUUUGCCUAACAAUGAUGCAGCUAACUCACUGAAGGCCUCUAUGGUCUCCAAGGUCCAAUCCUACAUAGAUGGACUCAAAUGAGGGACCAAACAUAACUAUUACAAAACUUUAAACAACUCCCUAAAAACCCCCCUUAAACAUACCAAAACAUGCACAUAAAACAAGCAAAGAAAGGCUAGGCAGGGGACUUUCGGCGGCAGGUUCGGCAACCGAAGGUCCCACACAGAUCCAAAAGUCAGGGACUUUCGGAGGCAGGUUCGGUGGCCUAAGCCCUUCACAGAUCCGAAAGUCAGGGACUUUCAGAGGCGGGUUCGAUGGCCGAAACCCAUCACAGAUUCGAAAGUCAUACUUUCGGGGGCAGAUUAGGCGGCCAAAAGGCUGCCUCCACAAGCAGGUUAGGAGGCUAAACCUUCCUUCGGCAGCCGAACCUGGGUUCUCCAGCAAGGUAGAACCCGAUUCUGCCCUAUGCAUACAGCCACCCAACUCUCCAAUCCUCACACCAAACUCCUCAAAAAUAUACAUACACACUCAUCAAGCAUAAAGGGCAUAAAAACUAGGCUAAACCCCAACAAACAAUAAUAAAAACAACACAAUAGCAAUCAUUCAUUAAAAACUCAACUCAAACCCUAAAACUUUAGAUCUAACCAUGUCAUGCAAUAUUUAACCCUUUACCCUUUUUUAAAACUUGAUUAAAACAUAAGAAAAGCAAAAAUCUAGACUUACCUCUUGGAGAUUUAAAGGUGACAGCAAUCCCAACGUGGAGAUGAGGUAAAACGGUCUCCGGAGGUCUCAAAGGUUUCAAAACUUGGAUUAAAGCUCAAAUCUUCAAAAACAAGGCAAAACUCAUGAAUUUUCUGAAAGAUUUAAAGAAAAAACAACAAAAAUCACAAAGAGAGGGCAUAAACUUACCUCUGCCCGAAAAUGGAGAGAAAAUUCUCUCAUCUUUGGGCUGAAGGCCUCUUAUAGGUGGCUGGACGAAACCACCUUCGGGGGUCGAAAGGGGAGGUCCUACGGCGGCACCACCUUCGGCGGCUGAACCUGAUUUUUUCCGGCUGAACCUGAUUUUUCCCUUCCAAAACUAUUUUCUUCAAAACUUUUUCUUUCUUUAUUUUCUUCAAAACUUUUUCUUUCUUUCUUAAAACCUCAAAAUUUUCAAAAUUCACUUAAUAAAAACCUUAUUUUACCCUUCUUAAGGAGAUUCCAGUUUCGAGAUUCCGGGUUCCAACGGAGAUUCCGUCGGAAGGUUGGAAUUUCGACGCCAGAAUCUAGCCGGGUAUUACAAUGGAUUUCUCUCUAACAUAUGAAUUAAAUAAUAAUUUUUAUUUUUUUUAUUAUUUUAUAUAAAGAUAAAAUAGAAAUCGUGGUUUUAUUUUUUUAACUAUUCAAGUAGAAUUGCAUUUUCAAGAUUUAGAGGAUAAGGAUUAUUAAUCAACACUAAAGAUCUAAAUAAAAUAAAAAAAUCUCACUAAAUUAGACCCAAUGGAAUACAUCAAACUAAUCGACAAUCAAAUAGACGAAAAGAAGCAACUAAACAUAUGUAUCCAAGCAGUGGCCGAUGAGACUAGUAAAUACAGAGCCAAAAGCAAAAGAUGGCAAAUGAAAACAAGCCAAUUAAAUACUGAAAACAGGAAUACUAGAAUGCCAUGAAUGAAUACAUAGAUAGAGAAAAUUAGGCUAAAAGUAAAAAGCAACCAUUGACAACAGCGAAUUGAAGAAGGAGACAUCACAGAGUUCAUUAAAAAAAGACCAAUAAGAGCGAUAUCCACCGAACAUAUCAGUGCGGUCCCAAAUUAUCGAUACUAUGCAUGUGAAGUUCCUUUACACCAGAAGCCGAAGUAGAAGCUCUCAACCAAAUCCAGCAACAUCUCCCUUACAAAAUCCAACACCAUAGACUUGAAGAUACAGACCAACAAUAAAUUACAAUAAAAAAAAAAAAAUACCAACACAAUCGUCCACGAGGGGAGAGAAGAGAUGGGAGGUGACAUUAAAAAAUAAAAUAAAAUUUCUUUCACUCAAACAAAAAAUCACCAAAGAAACAGACCAUUCAACGAAACAAAUAAAAAAUAAAAGCAAAAACCUGAUGCAAUAACCACAACAUCUAAUCGCGAGUCAAAUUUCUCCUUUUCCUUUUUUUUUUUCUCCCUUCUGUCUUUCUUCCAUCUUUUUAACUAGGAUUUUUUUUUUUAAUUUCUAUUCAAAUUUUUUAAAUAAAAAUCAUUGUUCAUUAAACCAUUUCAUCGCUAAUAUUAUUAAAACUAAAUUAAUUUUCCAAAGAAAUAAAAGUGUCAUUCAAUAAAAAAAAUAGUCAUAUAGCAUUUUUUAAUUAAUAUUCUUAAUAUUAAAAAGUUUUGAUUUUUUAUUAAGAGAAAUCUCUUUAAAUAUUAUAUAAGACUCUUCGUUAUAGUUUCUAAAUUGUUAAAAAAUCUCAAUUUUUUUUAUCAUAAUUGUAAAAAAUGUAAAAUUAAUAUUCACUUUUUGAAAGAAAACAAACAAAUUAAAAAAAAUACAUUCAUAAAAACAACCCAAUAAAACUGAAGAAAUAAAAAGAAUAAAAAACUAUAGUAACUGAAUUAUUGAGUUUUAAAUUAUAGGAACAUAUGUGAUAAAUUUUAUAUUAUUAAAGGAUAAAAGAAUAAUUUAUCAGUAAACUUAAUAUAGGUUCAAAAAAUUAAUUUAAAAUGUUGAAUGAACAAUAAUCCCAUAUAAUAUCAUCAAAUAUUAAAAUUAUGGCCAAAUUAUUAAAUGCUAUUAAUGUAUUAUUGACUAUGCUGUGAUGGUCUACUAAAUUAAUAAUGUUAUUAGUAUAUAAUUAAAAAAUUUUAAUUUGAUUUUGUUAAAAAUAAAUUAAAUUUACAUUAAAAGUGAUUUUUAAUGAUGGUGUAAAUUUAAUAUAUAGUUUUAAUUUUUUUUAAAUUGUUUGUUGUUAAAUUUCACAAAGGUAAUAUGCCCUUUAUUUCCCUUCUUGAACUUUUUAGUAAAUUAAAUUUGAUUCAAAUUUAACAUAAUAUCAGAAUCUUUCCAGACUGAUCUUGAAUCUAUAGUUAUAUUAUUGUAAAAUUUAAGUGUGAGAGUGUGUUAAAUUUUAUAUUGAUUUUUUAAAUAUUUUACUAUUGACGAAUACGUUAAUUUUUUAAAAUUAUAAAAAUAAUAAAUAAAUAAAUGACAAUUGGAGCAUAGUUGUUGACUUUAAAAUUAAAUGUAUUAUCAAAUAGUUAGGGGUGAGCAUUCGGUCGGUUCGGUUCAAAAUCGAACCGAACCGAAUAAAUUGAAAACCGAAAUUUUAGUGUUUAUAAAAAUCGAACCGAAUCGAUUUUGGUCAGAAAUCGAACCGGUCUGAUUCGGUUCGAUUCGGUUCGAUUUGAUCGGUUUCGAAUUUUAAUAAUUUUUUUAUUUUUUACACUUUAUUUUUAGUAUUUUAAAAUUUAAUUAAAAUAUUUUAAUUUUAAUAUGAUUUAAUUUCUUUAUAUUAUUAAAAAAACAUAUUAUUAUUACUAAUCGGUUCGGUUCGAUUUUUUCAAUUUUUUUCUGAUCAAAACCGAACCGAACCGAAAUUACCGAAAUUUUUGAAAUUAAAAACCGAACCGAACUGAAAUAUAUAAAAAAUCGAACCAAAAUUUUAAAUCGAUUCGGUUCGGUCGAUUUUUUCGAUUUGAACUGAAUACUACUCACCUCUGCAAACAGUGAUGCACUCAAAAGAUAAAAAAAAACAUUCAUAAUUUGUAAAUUGGAUUUUUAAUUAUCAUCCUCUUAACAACCCUAAUUAAUUAAAAAUUCUCUUCUCAUAUCAACUCAUCUCAUCCACCCCUUUAUUUUUUUUUAUUUUUCAAAAUAUCAAAUCAAUUCUGAGACCUCUAACCAAACACAUCAAUAAUUGAUAAAAACUUUGGUUUUCAAAUGUGACUUUUUUUUGGUAGCUAGUGAAUUAUUGAACAACUCAUGUCUUCUCCAGUCUCUUUGAAGUACUACUGCCAUCUCAUUCCCAUGCAUACUAAAAAAAAUAAAUUAAAAUUAAUUUUUAAAAAAUAAAAAAAACCCAAAAAUAAAUAAUUUCAUAUUGGUGUGUGGGACCCUAAUUAAGAGGGUUAGGGUUUUUGCAUCUCCUAUAGAACCAUAGAUAUAUUGAUUUAAAAAAUCUUACUUCUAAAUAGACUUUUGGCUAAAAGAUUAUGCUACUUUACCCUAAAUUUUUAAAUAAUUAAAAUUAAAUUUUACAAUUUGGAUUAAAUAUGUCAAAGAAACCAGAGAUUGAGGCAGAAAUUUUGCAGAAAUUAUUUAUUUAUUUUAUUUUUAUUUAUUUAAAAGUACCAAUGAAUAAAACUAUGUGUUAUGUAUUGCUUUUUACCUUAAUUAAGGGAUCUAAUCAUUUUCUAUCACACUAGCCAUUUCCAAUUCACUUCAUUCUUAAUCUUUUCCUUGUGUCCUUGGGCAGCUACUUGGUGGGUCUCCAAAACUUUUCCCACUCUGAAAUUAUUUAAAUUCCCAAUAUAUAUUUUUAUUUAAAUUUCUUAAGUUAAAUUUAAUUAAUUUUCCUUCAUAUACUUCCUAUCAAUCAAUUUUUAAAAAAUAUAUUUUAGUAAAUUAUUUAUUUUAUAUUUAAUAUAAUAUAAUUUUAAUAGUAAUUUUUAUCCGCCACAAAAAAAAUAAAUUGUGUUGCUCUACAUUAUGGCUGCCGAGGCAGAUAUAGUGAUCAUCGAUGACAUUAAUUUACAACUCCAGUUUAAAUAUAUAUAACGAUAAUUUACAGUCAUUAUUUUAAAUUCAUUAUUUAAAAUUUUUUUAAUAAUAAUAAUAUAUAAACAAAAAAACUUUUGCGGAUAUUUUUUUUUUAGAGUUCAAUAUUAAAAGUUGAUGAUCUGAAAUUCAAAGAAAAUAGAGUUUUCAAUGGUUGGGUAAGUUUAGGUGAGUAGAAAGUGUUCUCUCCCCUUUAUCCCUUUCUUUUUGUCUGCUAACGAUGCUUAACGGCCUCUCAGCUACAGUGUCACCUAUCUCUGUCAUACAGGUCCGUACGGACGAAAGUGUCAGACGCGAUGGUCAUUUAAUUUUCUCGGCGCGCGUGUAGGCAGGGCUACGAGGUGACUGAGCCUGCCGUCCUUUCUCCUGUUACGUUUCAGGGCUGAGCUUGGUGUGAAAGGACUGAGGUCCACGGGAGGCCCGACCUCAAGAUUGGAUGGUCCAAACCGGCUUGUUGAAGAGACCCCAUGACCUUUGAAUCAGGAUCGCUUUCAUGGGUUAGACCUUAUAUCAGGUGAAACCCUACAGUUAUUAGAAGUUAUAAUCAAAGUUUAUAAAUUAUUUUAUGUGAAGUUGAGAAGUCUUAUUGAUAUAUGAUUUGGUAAACCAUCUUCUUAUCUAAAGAGAUAGAAAAAUAAGAGAGGUUUCCAUGAUAGAAUGAUUAGUGGCAUCUCAAAAUUGACUGCACACAACCAAAAGCAAAAAGCUAAAGCAAACCUAACAAGGCCUAUAUUUAAAAUAGGAAAAAUAAUUACUUAGUUUUCCAAUUUUGCUCAAAAUUUUAAUUUAUUAAUUUAAAAAAUAUAUUAAUACGUGAUUAAAAUAUUAAAAAACUACUAAUUAAUUAUUUAUUAACUUUAAAUAUUAAGUAUUUUAUUAUUUAGUAUCUAUAUUAUAAAUAAAACUUAUUAAUUAAUUUUUUAAUUUUAUAAAAUUUAAACUGUCCCUCCAAUUGAUAAUAUUUUAGACUUUUAUUAAUAUUUAAUGAAUAAAAUUAAUAAAGAGAUUAAUUAAUAAAUUUUUUAAUACUUUAAAAAUAUUUUAAUAUAAUUUUAAAAAUUAAAAAUUAAUCAGCGAAUUUUCUUAUACUACACUACGUAGACUAAAUAAUAAUUCUGCAGUAAAAUAUUAAUGUAUAAUAUUUUUUUCAGUUAUUUUUUUAAAAUUUAUUUUUAAAAUGAAAAAAAAAAAACUUUGGAUACUUUUGCAUUUUGUAGUGCUAUGAUGGUUUUUGACCCGAGGAAAAGAAAAAUAAAAUUUACCUUUUCUUUAAACAAUACACAUCAAUACACUACUACAUUUUAUGGGAUUAGACAAUAACAUCUUCACAAUAAUUAUAAAAUUAUUAUUUUAAUACUAUUAUAAAAAAUUUUAUUUUUUAUUAUAUAUAAUAAUAUAUUUUAAUAAAAAAUAAAAUUAUAAUUUUAAAUAAUUUUUUAUCUGCUAUAAAAAAUAAUUAAAUUACUAUUUUAUAUUUAUUAUAAAAGUAGAUAUAGCAAUUUUUAAAUUGUUUAAAAUGAUAGUCUCAUAUAUCAGAAAAAAUUGUAAUAAUUGUUUGAAAAUUUGUCUAAGAAACCGAAAAAUAAAAUUUCAGAAAAUACUUUUUCUCAAUGGUAAGGCAUCCAUGAUGAACACAACCUUUGAUUUUCUUAGAAGAAGUGUAAUUGAGGAAUCAAAAUUCUUCAUGAACUUGUGAUCACAACAACAAAAUCUUAUAUUUGUACUAAAGACCAACAAAACAUAGAUCCAAUCUUCUGUUUCUCUCAUGAGCUUUCAUCUUUUUCACUUUGUGAAGACAUGACUCCACUCUUCAUCUUCUACCAAUGGCAUGUGCAUGGGUGAUGGUGUGGUGGAGCCACCCACUUUUGGUUAUUGUCAUCCUCAAAACCAUUUUUGAAAAAAAAAAAAUUAAAGAAAAAGAAAAAAAGCAAAUGGGUUUUCACAAUAGAAUCUUUAUUGAUUGAGAUUGGGCUCUCCCUUUACUAGACAUGAAUCAUUACCCUUGUAUCAUGGUUUGUCUCUCCUCCUUUGGGCAUCAUGGGUCCCUCUCUUUCACAUUUCCUUUCUUAUCAAACUUUUCCAAUUAAUUCUCUUUUUCUUUUUUAAUUACUUUUAAUUUAUGUAAUUAAUUCCUCUUUUUUUACUUUAAUACAGGAAAAGAGUAUUGAUAUUGACCUAGCAAAGAGCUCUGCAAAAGGUGAGCAGACUUAUUUUAAUCCAAAUUAAAAUAUAAUAAAAUUAUUUUUUCUAAUGACUGACUUAGAAUAAAGUUUAACUUGAAAGACUAUGGUAGAAUUUAUUUUCAUGACUCAACUUAUAUAUACAAAUUAUUUGUGUGGCCCAUGGGCUAGCCUUGACCAAGAUGUGAAGUUUUGUGGGUCAGCCCAGUUAAGCAAGGCUCAUGGGUUUUGCUUAAAGAUGAUUUAAAACACUAAUCACUAUUUUCAAAAUUGUUGUUGCCAGAAUUAAACUGAAAUUGCAUUGUAACAUGCUAACUUGUUAGCAACAAAAAUUACACAUUCUAUUCGGUUCAAAUCGAUAAAAUUAAUUAAAUUAAAUUAAUUUAAAAUUUUAGUUUAAUUUUUUAUUUUUUGAUUCCAUUUAAUUUUUAAUUUUAAAAAUUUUAAUUAUUCAGUUCGAUUUUAUCUAAAAAAUAAAAAAAAAUAAAUCAAACUUUUUUUUUUUGAAAUAGGGGGUUGGAGGAGUCCUUUCAAGACUACAGGAGACUACAGGAUGCACUUUCCAACAGGCUAAGCCUUGGAGUGCAAAUUAAAUCAAACUUAUUAGUAUAAUAAUAUAUUAUUUUUAAUAAUAUAAAGAGAUUAUAUCAUAUGAAGGUUAAAAUAUUUUAAUUAAAAUUUAAAAUAGUGUAUAACAAAUAAAAAAUUUAUUAAAAAUUUAAAUCAAUGAAACCGAAUCGAACUGAAUCAAAUCGAUUCGGUUUGAUUCAGUUUUUGAUCAAAAUCAAUUAGUUUGAUUUUUAUAAAUACUAAAAUUUUAAUUUUGGUUUAUUCAAUUCGGUUUAAAUCAAAUCAAACUGACCGAAUGUUCACCUACCUGCUUUAUAAGACUGAUUCGAUUUCUGAUUAAAAUCAAUUCAGUUUGAUUUUUAUAAAUAUUAAAAUUUCGAUUUUCGAUUUAUUCAGUUCGCUUCGAACUGAACCGACCGAAUACUCACCCAUUUCCUAUAUAAGGCUAAUUCAAUUUAUAAUCAAAAUCAAUUCGGUUUGAUUUUCAUAAAUAUUAAAAUUUUAAUAUUCAGUUUAUUCAGUUCAGGUCCAACCGAAUUGAAUGCGCACAUAUCUGCUCUAUAAUUGAAUUAUAUCCCACUUACUGGUGCUGUAACCUAGUCCAUUUUGAAUUGAUCAAACAUAGAAAAUACGAAAAACUUGUUACACAAAUACUAGGAAUAAAUAUUAGACAUCUUAGAAAACUCAAAAUUGCAAAUGCUCUCUAUGAGGUAGGUUAUUUGUGAAAUAAGCAAUUGAAGUGGACAAUUCCAGGUAGACAGAGAGCUGUCUUCUCAGACCUGUCUGACAGGACCCAAUCCAAAAUAAUGAUUAAUGUCAUGUAAAAAUGAAAAAAAAAAAAAUCGUGAUUUUAGGCCAUCUAGAAUUCAAGUUUCGUCUUCACUGUCUGAAAAUAGGCAAUCUUGUAGUUGUUGCCUGCAAGCAGAAAACUAUGUUCUAUAUUUGUAAAGUGAAGAUGAAAUUCUGAAGAGGCACAAAAAAAUUAACUAAAACUCUAUUUGUUUUAUAAAAAUAUGUUUUAUAUUUUCUGAUAUUUGAAACACUUAUAAAAAUAUUAUCACAAUAAAAAAAAAUCAUCUUUUUAAAAAAUAAUUUAAUAAUUUGAGAAUCUUAUUAAAAUUACUAAAUUUUCCAUGCAUAAAUUUAUUAAAUCUUUUUUUUUUUUUAACAUUGCAACUAAACAAUCAAAAAUAUUUUUCAAUAAAAAUUAUUUUCCAUAAAAGCAAACCAAGCCUAAAAUUAAGAUUGUUUUUUUUUACUAGCAUAUGGACCUCCAAAUUCCAAGGUUGCAACGGGCCAAAGCUAUCUCUCAAUCUUAGACUAUUAUGUUCAAUAUAGAGGGCGGAAUAUUUGGUUUAACUUCAGUUAUAUGUUUAGUUAAAAUUUAAUUGAUUUAAAAAGACUAGAUCUUUGUAUUUACAUUUUAAUCUAAAUUUUUUAAUUUUAAUUUAAUUGGUUUAAUUUUUAUAUUUUAAUAUAAUUUUAAUUUAUCUGUAAAUUUUUAAAUUUAAUUAUCUAUGACAAUUUGAUAAUCUAACUAAUAUAACCCGUAUAUUAUUAUUAUUAUUAUUAUUAUUAUUAUUAUUAUUAGUCAAUUAACGGAACAAAUUUCAUCGUUUAUGUUAUUUUAUAUUUUAAUUUAAAUAUUUAAAUUUUAAAUAAAUUGUCUCAACAUUUAUAUUUGAGUGUAAUCUUAAUCAAUUUUCAAAAUUAAAAUUAAAGAUAAACAAUCUAAUUAUUAAAUAUGUAGUUCACAUAUUUAAUAACGAUAAAUUUUAUUUUAUAGUAAUAAUUAUAAAUAUUUUAUAAUAGAUAUAUUAUUUAAUUUAAAAUAACAGUAUAUAAUUAAAAAUAAUAUAUCUAUUAUAAAAUCUUUAUAAUUAUUAAUACAAAAUAAAAUCUAUUUAAUAUUAAAGUUCUUUAUCGCAUAUUCAACGGGUUACUAUUAUCUUUAAGAUUAAAUAUAUCAUUUAAAUAUAAUUAAAUAUAAAUUAAUAUUAAUUUUAUAUAUGAAAUUAAUUUAUAUUUAAAAAAUAAUAAAUAUUACAUUUAAUAUUUUAACUGAAUUUUUAUAUUUUAAUUUUUAAAAUGAACUAAAAUUAUAUUCAAAUGCAAAUAUUGAAUCCAUUAAUUCAAAAUUUAAUUAACAACAACAACAACAAUAAUAAUAAUAAUAAUAAUAAUAAUAAUAAUAAUAAUAAUAAUAAUAAUAAUAAUAAUAAUAAUAAUAUCCACUAAACUAUAAAAUUGUCACAUACGCUAUUAAAUUUAAAAAUUUUCAAAUAAACUAAAUUGCAUCAAAAUAUGUAAAGGUUGGACUAAUUAUACAAAAAUUAAAAAUUUUAAAUUAAAAUACAAAUAUGCACAAAUGUUGAAUUUUUUUGAAUCAAUCAACCUAUUAUUAAAAUUAUUAAUAUAUAUAUAUAAUAGAACUAUUGGAUAAAGGCAAAACUUUUCGAUUUUUAAUUUUCAAUUUUUCACAAUUAGACCAAAAGAAUAAAAUCAAAUUUAGAAAAAUUAAUAAUAAAUUACAAUAUAACCUCUAAUAUUUGAUUAUUAAAUAAUCUUUAAAUACAUAUUUUUAUAACAAUAAUGUCAUUCUUUUUAAUUUCAUUAUUUACUCUCUAUUUUUAUUAAAAAACUUAAAAUAUAUAUCAAAAAGCUUUACAAUUUAAAAUAUAUAAUAUUUUAUUUGAUUUAGAAUAAUAUUAAUAGAAAAUAAAGUUUUCAAAAUGUAAAAAUAUGAACACAUGUUAUAAUAUUAAGGAUAAGCAUUCAAUAAAAUAUUUUAAUAUAUUAUUUAUAUGUGAUAUUUUAUAUAAUAUAAAUUUAUUUAUAAUAAAUAUUUAAUAUAUAUUUGAUAUUACAUAUAAUAAAUAUUAAAUAUAUUUAAUUUCAAUAUAAAAUUUAAAUUAAAGAAUCCAAACUAAAGCAAAAACCUAGAGCUAAUGGUUGAGAAUCCAAAUUAAACUUUUCAUCUGCCAUUCUUCACCCGGGAUACCAAAUGUUGGAGUAAAGACAAACAGAAAUGUUCCAUUGUUGAGGGCUCCUUUGAGGAGUAUUUGAAAACAACAACUUGAACAAGCAGCAGCAGCAGCAGCAAAUCGUGAACUUUGGCAACUUUCAUGACUUUCCAAACUCAACAAAUCAGAAUCCUUGCGAGGGUUAUUGCAAAUAGGACAGAAUGACAAUGGGCUUGAUAUUGUAUCUUUUCCGACACCCUUGAUUUCAGGAAUCCUAUUGAAAUGGAGUAAGCUUUUCAGCUGUUCAUACCACAAAAGAGACUUUUCCAGAAGGAGCAUUUAAUUUCAAAUCAUUUAACCCACCAUAAACUUGUUAGAAGAAUAAUCUUUUCAAGCAGCCUCAACAACAAAACCUUUUAUUUUUAUAUUUAUCAAAGGAGGUCUGAACUGCAUAGUAUCUGUUUCACCCUUCAAGUAAAGCUUAUUGUCUUAUUGAGCUCCACCAGUCUCUCCAAUGGCCCUAAGACAGUAUGUAAGAAAUAUUCAGAUUAUGAGAAGAAUAUAAAUUUUUACCUGUAAACGGGUCACAAAUGAAGACACCAAACUGUUGAUUCCAGUGGGAGCACUAUUAAGUAAAGGCAAAGUCUUCAGACUGCCCUGCCAAGAUGAGAACAUAACCUUCACUUAGCAGCAGACUUUCUUUAUUUGAAUAUGUUACAUUUAUACCCAAAACAAUACCAAAAGAGAAUUUCAUAUGAAGAUAACCGAAAAAGAAAUUAACACAAACCCAUCAAUGCCGCACAGCAAGUUCAGUUCUAGUGCAGUACAGUCACGCAGUGGAAGCACCACUGGGACCUCCCAUCUGGCAUCAAUAUACUGUAUAUCAGCUGAUAAAUAAUAUCCUUGACCCUGUUAGAAGAGAGGGGAAAAGGGGAAAAAGAAAAAAAAAGAACACAAACCCAUAAAUAAUAUUCAGAUUAUGAGCAGAAGUAAUUAUAUAUAUAUAUAUUGUGGGGUGAACAUAUAUAUAUAUGCAGUUUCACCUUUGUGUUUACAAAUAGCAGUACGUCAAAAUUCUUUUUGAAAAAAUUGACCCCUCUCCAAUAAGUAGCUCAGCCCAUGUGUGGAAUAUUUAUGUUGAAUUAAAUUUCUUUCCACUUGAUCUUUUUUCCUUCAAAUUUGCAUAGUUUGAAGACAAUAUAAUUCUGGCCUAUGUUUAAAAAUGAUUGCAGUGAGAACAGGACUCCAGAGAAAUGAUCUUCUUCAACUGUAAUCAAAGUUUUUACUUGGUUAUCAUGAAACCAGGUUGCAAUUGUUAUGCCCCUCUUGCUUGUAUUAACAAAGUCCAAACCCUUCCGUAGGGCUCCUGCAACAUUUGUUGUCAGGGUGAUGAAAUCACACAAAGGCAGCUUGGGAAGGGGGCUUAUUUGAAAUUGUUUCUGGGACACCUCUGUCUCACCCCCCCAAGUUAAACAUGUGAAAAUCAUAAAAUCAUUCACAAGCCAAUAUAAUAAUGUUCCUGAUAAUACAUAAGCUUACAUCCCAAGACACAUAUGGCAUGAUAUCAUAAAUCAAGGGAUUCUCAAGCUAAAAUCGGAAUAUAUAAACAUAAAUUAUUAUACCUGUUUAGGAAUGCAAAUCCUACACUAAAUAGAAAUAUGUAUAACAGCAACAAAUGAUACAUACAUCAGAAAAGGAGUCUUCAACUUGAGGCCUUUGAAAAACAAACCUUUAUUGUUGCUGCAAGGACAUGGCCAGCAAGCCUCGAUGUGCACAACCCUAAAAUAAGCCUGGUAUACCCAUUUUCAGAAGCAACCUACAAAAUGAACCCAAAAAAAGAAAAAAAAAUCUGCAUGAGUGAAUUCAUGUUCUCAUCAUUCUAUGGCUGCAAUUGAAAUAUAAACCUCUUGACCAAACCUUUUGCAAGGCCACCAUCCGCAGAUGCAGCAGAAUGUCUUCUUUCCCUGCUGCCUCAUUCACAGCACUUGGUAAAUUUGUUAAUCUGUCCUUUAAAUCAAUUGAAGAAUAUAUAUUUUCAAUUCAAACAACAGGUAACUGCUUCACAGGUGAGGCUAGCUUUGAGACUACCAAUUUCAUCUCUCUAAUUGCAUCAUCCACUUGCUCAGAAGCAACUGGAUAGACAGCACAUUCAUCAAUGAAUGCCACUCCAACACCAAACACGGUAAUGAUCCGUCCUUACUUGCAUCAAAAUUCUUCUGUGCUCUAUGCUGCAUCUCAUGUACAAACUGUAGGGCUACCGUGAAACACAACUACAACUGCUCAGAAACUGAAGUUGAAGACCACAAACAAGGCACCAUAAAGGGAACAUCUCAUGAUAAAUUUCCAAGCAAAAAUAUCAUUUAAUACCUUUUCACAUGCAGGUAUAAAUCUCUGGAUCAAAAAAAAAAAAAAAAAUAUAUAUAUAUAUAUAAUGAUAGAGAAGCAAACUAUAGGUAUAACCUUCAAUCAAAUUGCUACUGUGGGGAAAAGUAUAAUAAGCAUCAAAAUAACAGAGAACUGUUCUUGAGAAUGUUAUACUAAAGUUGCUUCAAAUUAUAACCAAAAAAAAAAGGGGAAAUUCCUGAACAAUUCCUACUAAAUUUUAGACUCUAGUUACUCUCCUAGGAAACCGUUACAAUCCAAAUGCUCGAUUUGUGAUAAGUGUGGGACCAAUUUGACCUUAAAUGAAUAGUUUUGGAUUAUUAGGAUAAAACGGUGAAUUUGGAUUCAUUUGAACCUCAACAAAUGUUCAGGGUUUAUUUGGACAUUUUCUCCCGUAAAACGAACUCCCACUCUUUAGUUAACCCUUCCAUACAAUUGCCCCCGCACUCGGCAGCACCGUAGUCCUUCGCCUCGAUUCAUCUAUUUUUCACGAAAACUAUACCUCAAUCACCCUCUCAAACUCAGAAUCAUCAAAACCCAGGUUUGGUUUCAUAUUCGCUGUGCUUUUAUCUAUUUUUGGCACUUUUUUUAUAAAAAAAUUGUUUAAUAAAUUCAUGAUUUUGUGUUACCCAUAAGAUAUCUAUGCAAAAUAUUUCUGGGGUUUAAAUUUUUUUUAUCGUUAAUGCAGAAAUCUUGUUUUUUUAAAGGACUGUCAAUAGUGUUCUUCAUUUCUUUGCAUUUUCUUUCAUUUCUUUUGGAUUGAAAAAGGAUUGUCAAUAGUGUUCCUUCCAUUUUUUGCAUUUUGUUUCAUUUCUUUUGGAUUGAAUUUGUGAUUUAUUUGCCAUGAAUAAUGAGGCUGGCGGGUCGUUUGUUGCUUUGCAUUCUUGUUAGAUUCGUUAAUUUGCAUUUCCAUCGAGCAAAGCUGCUUAUUGAAGAGCUAGAGGAGAAUGGGGUUGCCAAAUGUCUCUGGGGACUUAUCAGCAGAGAUGGAGGUUGAUGCUUUCAGACGCCUUUUCCCUCUUCGCUUUUAUGAGCGUCAUCUUGCAGAUUCUAUUCGUCCUGAUGCCAGACCACUUGGAAGAGCUAGAGAUACAACAAUGGCCCUUGGUUAGUUUGAUUAAGCCUUUUUCUUUUUGUUGAUUUUGCCCAUUUUCACUUUACAAUGUAGAUGAAUAUUAUUUAUAUAGCUAAUUGUAAUUGAACCUAAUUUAUUUAUAGGGGCUGUGGCAUCUGCUGAUGGGUCAGCACUAACGAAGAUUGGUUCAACUGUUAAGUGCAUCCCCCCCCUCUCUCUCUCUAAAGUGCGCGUGCGUACACUUUGAUUGUUGAAUUUAUUAUGCUUUUUUUCCUGCACAGACCAUGUUGGCUGCAAUAAAGAUGGAAGUCAUGACCCCUUCCACCGAUUCACCAGAUGAAGGCUGCAUAGGUUAAAGAUUCUGUGAACUUUUUGUUUGUUUUCUUCCUUUUUUUUAGUUUUUGUGUCUUUUCUUCUUCUUGUAUUAUUGAUGUCAAUACAUAUAAAUCUUCUCUUCAGCUAUUGAUUUCCACAUGCCUCCAAUUUGUUCUCCAAUUGUUAGGCCUGGUAGGCCCGCCGAGGCAGCACCAGUUGUGUCCAAGCAGUUAUCUGAUACAAUACUGAGGCAAGUGAAUGUAAAUGUUCAGUAUUUUUUUUGUCAUUUUUUUUUUCUAAAUCCUGUUUAAUUCCGUUGUCUUUAAUACUUGAAGAAUGUCUUCUGAAAAUAUUUCAUUAGGCUAUGUUGAUUGUUAAUUGUAUAUCCAUUGGGCUUUCUUGUUGUAUUUUAUUAUUGUAGUAUGCAUAAAUUUUUAGUUUUAUAGGGGUGGGGUCAUUAUCAUUUCUAGUUGGUGAAGUAAUAGGAAUUGCAAUAAAAGGUCAUUGCCUUGAUAACUGUUAGAACUCUAAAUUUUCCUACUUGUGAAUAGUGUUGCAUGAAAUGCUGGCUCUUAUUAUUUGAACCUGUAACUUCUUGCUAGCAAAAUAGGAGUCUGAUAUGCUCUAGACUAGACUGCCUGCUGAAAAAUAAAAGACAAAAUAAUGCUUCCAGUUUCACUAGUUUUCUUUCUCUGGUAAGAAGGUAGGCAUGUGCAAAAUUCCUUACUAAUGAUGCAUGGUAUUGUAAUUCAUGCAUAUGAAUAGAUAUUUUCUAUCAAUUGAGGUAAUGAUAUCUUCAUGUAAACACUUGGAGGAGUGAUUUUUUUAUGUGUCAUUAUGUGGUGGUAUGUGCAUGUAAAAGUAGUGUAGUCAUCUUUAGUAAGUUCAUUGGUCAUUGGUGACAAAGGCAUACAACUUUUUUAUUUUUUCCCUUUUAAUGAAGAUGUCCUAAGACCUGCGAUACAUCCAUAUGUCUACUAAUUUAUAGGCUUGAUCAUGUCUUUCUACUAAUUAUAGGGUUGAUCAUGUCUUUGAAAAAUUCCAUUUGGGGAAUACACAUAUACUCCGACCCUUCAUUUUUCCAUGCCAUACCUGUGUCGACACGAAACUUCAUGGAAUAUGUGUCUGAUACAUAUUUGUACAUUCAGACUCUUAAGUGAUAUAUUCAUACAUAGUUAAUGCAGCAUUUUUUUUCUCUCAAGAUGAAGGGUAUGUAUUUUAGAUAAAACUAGUUAUUUGGUUGUAUUUUGAAUGAUGUAUUUGGUUGUUUUGAUCAUUUAUUUAGACUAUAAUUAUUAUUACAAGUUUAUUCUAGUUUAUUUUAUAUAAUUUAACAUAUUUAAACACUUGUGGCUAAACUUAGAUCCAUAUCCCAUAUUUUCUAUUUAGAAGGUUGACAAGCCAGGUAUAGGUAUAUGCUCCAAUUUCUGACACCUGUAUCCAAGUCCAAGUAACAUAGGGGGAAUAUUGACUAAAGCUUGGCUACACUUGAAGUAAAAUUUGGAUGUUAAGAUAAUGUCUUGAUAUUUCAGGUUGCUCAAGCGAUUCUUAGGAAUCAAUCUCAUUUUUAUUGGAUUCUUCCUUCCCUUGAUCAAUUUCAUUUCCUCGUUCAACAAGUUUUCUAACAAUUGUUUUUGUGGAUUGUUGCAGUUCUGGCAUGAUAGAUUUAAAGGAACUAUCUUUGGUCAGUGGAAAAGCGGCAUGGAUGGCAUACCUUGUAAGGAAUAUUAAUUUUUAGUCUUCUUCCUUCGUCCUUGUCUUUAAAUGAAUUUCACAUUCUUCUUGCUUUUUUUUUUUUGUUGUUGUUGUUUGUGCAUGCUUAGAGAAUUGAGAUUUUUUUGACACAUGAAAUCUAUAUUUUACCAUAUGACUAGUUAACUCAUUACUUCUUUUGCAACCAGUAUAUAGACAUAUUGAAAGUAGGGAGUUUCUACUGUUACUUGAUUUAAAAUAAAGUAAAUUUAUAUUGUUAUGAAAACAAAUUAAACUUUACAGAAUUAUAUAUUUUAUAUUAUAAAUUUACAGAAAGUAAUAUUUUUUUUAAAGUAAUCGUUUUACUGGAAAUAUGUUGAAUAAACAAAAAUAUAAAUAUAUAUUUUUUAGAAAUUAAUGUAGUAAAAUUUAUAUGAAAUUAAUAACUAAUUAAAUAUUUUAUUUUAUUCUAUUAUUUAUAAAAUAUGUUAAUUUCUUUAUAUUUUAAAGUGUUAAUUUUUAAAUAUUUUUUUGAAGUGGUCACUAUUUUUUUAAAUUUAAUAAUUCUUUUAUAAAAAAUAAUUACUUUACAAAAAUAUAUAUUAUUAUUAUUAUUUAAAUUAUAAAAAAUGCCAUGUUUUGAAUUAUUAUUGUUUUCCGUUAAUAUCAUAUACUUUUUUAUUAUGAUUGAUUACCAAAAAUAGAUUCAUUUACAAAAUAUUUCAAGUAAAAUAUAAAAUUUGUAAAGUUUAGGUUUUUGCAACAAAGUGACCACAGAAGUCACCUUGAAAGUAAUUGUUCUCUGUCAAAUGACUGAUGAACACUAAAAAAUGUCUUCUGCAGGACAUAUACUGUUUGGAUGCAGAUGGUGCUCUUUUUGAUUGUGCAUUGCUUUCAGCAGUGGCUGCCUUCUCCAAUUGUAAGUUUGCAGCCUGUAUCAUGCUUUCACCUCUUGUGUUGUGUGGCUUUUGAAGAGCUGGCAUAGCCUGUGAAAAUGAACAUGCUUGCCCAAAAGCCUUGCACCUCAGCUUUAUGACGCUUGUCUAUAAAUUGUUUCCUAUGGUGCAGCUUGGUAUGGACACAGAACACCAAAUUUGAUUCGUUUUGAAUAUGCUAUUGAAAUCAGUGGCUUGAUUCAUCCUUUAAAUAUUGUGCUUGGUGACCCAAAGCUACUUUUAGAGCUAGCCAUGGUCCAGUUGGGGCCUGGAACUGACUGGGGUCUCAUGGGCCUGAACAAAACUGGAACCAUUUCCCUUCCUCCUUGAAUGAGACCAGGCAGUUCCAGUUUUUCUGAACCCAUUUUUUCUUUUAGAAGGAUGGAAUUUUUAUUUGAAAAAUUUUCCACUGUUGGACUGACUCAAACUGGGCGGAACCAGAACUGGGUGCUCUGUUCCAUGGACAGGAACCAGCCCAUGGCCUGGACUAGCUAGUUUAGGAUUGUUGAAUUGCUGAAUAUUAACUGCUGCUCGUAUCUUUUAGAAAAAAGUGAAGGACAUUCAACUUCACAAGAAUGUGUUUGCAUCCGGAAGGCUAAUUCAUUUUCUUUCUUACUUGGACAAUUUUCUAAGUCACCCUGUUGCUUUUCACUCAAUCAUGUGUGUAUGUAACUGUUUAAUAGAAAAAGGGCAUUAGUUGAAAGGAACCAAUUACUUGUGCAUUCAUUCAUGUGCUUAGUCUCCUAGAGUUUAUGGAUCAUCUUAUUUGAUAGAUUUCUGCUAUAAGAUAACACUCAUCUCAAGUCAUCCUACUUGAUAAAUUUCUGCUUUAAGUUAUUUUCCAUCAUUUAAGCUGGGUAUCUUAUGACUUCACAUGUAUAUGUUGGACAUCUAGCCUUAACCCAUUCUUUAGACCAACAUCAAAUGGAAAAGUAUAGUAUUCUUACAAUUGUUCACACAGUUUCAAGUUUCUUUCUCUGGUAUUAAUAUUGUAAGUUAUCUUCCAAAGCAUAGUGUGUAGGCUAUUGUUGCAUUUGCUUCAUUUUAGAUUGAAGUGAACUUGAAAAUUUUUUGUUUGUUUAUUUUAUUGUUAUUGUGUUGUCACUAUUAUCAUCAUUAUUGUGUUCUUAUUUGAUUGAGUUGUGUCUGUAAUUGCCUCGCUCAUUAUAAAAAUUUGACAUCUUCUAGUGCAAAUCCCGGUGGUUUCCCUGAACGAUGAUGGAAAGAUAGUAGUUGUGUCUGAGGAAGGUGAGGAAGGAAAGUUGGAAAAGGAGCCAGUCAAUAAGGAAAAGAGGAAGCUCACGCUGAGAAGCCUGCCAUUCUCAUUAACAUGCAUACUUCACAAGAACUAUAUCUUGGCAGACCCCACUGCAGAGGAAGAGUCUAUCAUGGAAACUCUUGUAACUGUGGUUUUGGAUUCAUCUUCUAGACUUGUGUCCUUCUACAAGCCAGGUGGACCAGUUCUCGCCUAUACAUCAGCUGUUCAGGUAUGUUUAUUUCUAAGUAUCUAUUUUGAUGCAAACCAAAAAUUCAAGGGAAAUUUAUUAUUUAGUCCCUAUAUAAUAAGGAAGCUCAUUAGUUGGUUCCUCUCUUUUCAAAAAUAUAUUAAAAUGUUCUUGAUGUUUUAAAAAGUCUAUUAAUUAGUUUCUCAGUUAAUUUUAACCGUUAAGUGUUACAAAAAUGUCUAAAGUGCCCUUGAUAGUUGAUACAAAGCGACUAAUUGGUAAAUUUUUUAUAGACAUGAGAGAGGGACUAACUAGUAAGUUUUUAUAAACCGUAAGGAUUAAAUAGUAAAACACUUAAUGGCUAAAAUUAGUUGAGGGAUCAAUUAGUAGACUUUUUAAAACGUCAAGAAUAUUUUAAUAUAUUUUUCAAAAUUGAGGGACCAACUAGAAUAUAGGGACUCAACAAUAUUUUUCCCAAAAUUCAAAGUCAACAUGACGGGAUAUCGAACGCCAAUAAAAGUUGGAUCUGCUAUUGGAAAAAAAAAACCCUUAAAUUGUUAGUUAUAGGGAAUUAAAAGUCGGUGUAAAAUUAAAUUUGACAAUUAAACAACAUUUUUUAAAAUUCUUUUUUUAACAGCAUAUUGAACAGUUUUUUUCCAGAAAACACUUUUUUGGCUCCAAAUCUCAACCUUAAACAGGGCCUUAAUAUUCUUUUUAUGUUUGAAUAAGAAAUGGCCUGCUGUGGUUGCAGGAUUGUGUUGCAUUAACAAGGCAAAGAGUGAAGGAACUUCAAAAAAUUUUAGAUGAGGCUGUUUCUGGUAUGGAGAUUGACUAGGUUUGAUUUUUAUGUGCUGAGAAAAUAUCCAGGUCAUUAAUCUAUUCGUGCGUAGUAGCAUACCUUUGAAUACAAUAUCCUCUCUAUCCUGUUCCUGUGGUGAAUCUAGUAAUGCCAUGAGAGGCUCUCAAAUGCAGGAAUUGCUAGUAAACUUCGGUUACAUUUGUGGGAAAGCUUUUUUGUUGCAUUUUGUUCCAUCUUGUGACAGUUGACAUGGAAUUUUUGCCAAGAGUGAAUGCAAGGCAGUUUCACUGUGAGUUCCACUAGCGCCAAUCAAAUAAUUCCAUGGGUAAUUUACAGUAUAGUCCCUGAGAUAUUGUAAAAUCUACAACUUAGUCUCUACUCUUUUAACAGUUAACAAUUUAGUCCAUGAGUUUUUUAUUUUACUAGUGAAAUAGGCCUUUUGUUAAAUUUGUUAUUAGCCAAUCGUAAAUUGAAAAAGUCAAUUCCAAUUGAAGGGAUUAAAUUGUUACAAAUGUUAAAGUUAUAGGAUUAAAUUAUUACAAAGGGAUGAAACUGUUAAAAAAAGUGAAAUUUAAAAAAUUAAAUUGUUAUAGUAUAAUAAUAAAUUUUAACAGGCACUCACAGAUUUAGUCUGGUGGUAAGUGCAUCCAAGUAAAUAUGAAAGAUCUUAGUUUUUACUUUUGCAAUCCCAUUUUAAAAAUAAUAAUAAUAAAUUUUAACAGAAGUAUUAUUUUAUUAUUAUUUUGUUAAUAAAAUGAAACGUAAAUUGUUUCUUGUUAAAAUGAUAAGAAUUAAGGUGUGAGUUUUGUUAAAUCUUAAGAACUAUAUUAUAAAUUGCCCUAAUUCCAUUAAAAAAAGACUUUAUAUCUCUUUUAUAUCUCUUUUCUGAUUUGGAGCCCUAAUUCCAUUAAAAAAAGACUUCAUAUAUCUCUUUUCUGAUUUGGAGCUUCACUUGAUAUCUUCAACUUGGUAAAUUCACAUCAUUUACAGUAACUUUAUCACUGAUUUAUUUCCCUGGCAUGACUUGCCUGGUUGAUAAUUGUCUUGUGGUAGAUAUCUAUAACUCAACCUGAGCCACACUUAUUGCUUGGCUGAUUGACUGGACACAUCAGAUUUAUUGUUGCAACUCGUUCAGCAUUGUCAUUUCCCCCUCCCCAUAUCAAGAAAAGAGACAAAAAUAAUAAUAAAAAAAUCUUCACUUUUGGUGCAUUUUCCGUGGAGCUUUUUCUUUCCCGGCAUUAGAUAAUCAGUACUAUUCAAUUGGAACUAGAAAUAGAACUAAUGAAAUUAUUUGGAUACGUUAAUGGAGCGCCCAGCCACUCAGGCCUUGCAGAGAUACCAAGGCAAUGUGCAUUGCUUUGCUUCAAUUCAUUCUGUUUUCUUUCAAUUCCUUGAUGAGUUAUCCCAAAACCACCAUGCGUAGUGGCCAGUCGUAAGGCCUAUGGCAUUGGAUAGCUCCAACUUAGAUUUGAUUUCUCAAAGCAGCUUCGAGGUGAAAAAACAAAAAAAUCUUGACUUGGAAUAUGAGAUGUUGAUCAAUCCGAGUUGGCCAUAUUUUCGGCACUUCGGCUCGGUGGUAGGUCCUUUCUUGUGAGUAGGAUUAAAUCAGGGUGUCAAUCGUUGGAUUUAGAGAAUAAUAGCUUUUUCACUCAGAUUUCAUUUGUAGUUUAAAAAAAAAAUCCCAAAAAAAAAAAAAAUUCAGAAGACAGAGUGAUUGAUGUAAGCAAUAUUAUACAUAAAUCAAGUGGUAAAAGAUGUUUAAAUUUUGAAUUUGACACGAAUUUAUGUCUAAUGAGCUGAAUAAUGGAAAAACCACUCUAACAAUUUUUUAUUAUUAUCUUUAUUAUUAUAAUUCACAUAUAAUUUUUUUUAAUUUUCUCUUCAUAUUUUUUAAUUUCUUACCACUUUUUUAAAAUAAUAUAUUAAUCACAUUAAAAUAAAAACUUUAAUAUUUUUAUUUUAUUUUUAUUUUAAUAAUAAAUAAACUGUAAAAAAAAUUAUAAUCAAUAUUAUUAAUUAAUUGAUACGAUAUGUAUUUCAUCUCUUAGGCAAAUAAUAAGAUAUAUAUGAGAGAUUGCUAAGUGCACAUUUAACUCUAUAUAAUUAUUUUUUUUUUUUGAAAUGAAAAUCGGAAAUUGGAAAAAUAAAACCUGAAACCUCUUAUAUUUAUUCAGAUGUAUUUACCAUCAUACUAAAUCUGUGAGUACAUAUAAUUACGUUAUAUAACAUAACUUUAUAAUUUUUUUUAUACAUUUUUAAUUUUCUAUUUAUAUAAAAUAAUAAUCAAUAUAUAUUAAAUAAAAUUUAUUAUUUUUAUGACCAUUGUUAAUAUAUGACUUUGAUAUAAUAAGUAGAAUUUAUAUUAAAAAUUUUAUCUUCAUUUUUAUUUGGCUCAUAUUUUAAAAUUAUUAUUAUUAUUUUUUUUAUAUUUAGCAUGGAAACUAUAUAACUAAAAUAGAAAUUGGACGAAAGUUAUUCAAAUGUUGAAAUUCUUUAAUUCAAGUGAUUUUACACUAUCACUAUUGCCAAGACUAUCUACAAGUUUAGUAAACUUUAUUUUUUUAAAAUUAUAGUUUCUUCAAUAAAAUCAGUUAUUAAAUAUUAGUAAUAUAUGAUAGUAAAUAUUAAUUUUUUUAAAAAUAUUUUUAUACAAUUAAAUUUGUUUGAUGAAUGGUUUUAUAUUUCAUUAAUAUUUGAGAUUUUUAAAUUUUUUACUCCAUAAUUAAGAAUCAAACAUUUAGUUGGAUUUAUAUUUUUUUAUAUAAUUCUCUUAUUUAUUGUACGGCACUAAUUACAUAUAAAAUAUUUUAAUAUUUGCACGAGAAAGCGGUGAUAAAUGAUUAGUUUGAUAUUAAAAGCUAAUGACCGCUGGGUUUCUCCAUCCUUUACGGGGCCGGGCCGAAAGUAGCAGCCCACAAUCAGGAGGUCCCUAAGCCCCCGAAUGAGUCAAGCCCAACCCGUUAAUUCUCUUGAUCGGAUUCCUAUGUAAGUCACUCAUUCGGACCGGUCCGACCCAUUUCAGCCUUGGAGCCAGUCCUUUUCUAGAUUCUGAUCCUUUUCCCUCAAAUCCGGUCAUAAGAAGAAAAGACUGCGGGUCCAGUCAUUACACAGCCCUGUCCACGCACGCGCCGAAGGGAAUUAAAUGCUUGUCUGACACAGGGAGAGGCAUGAGGUUAUCCCUACGUACGUACCUGCACCUAGGAGUAGGUGGUCCUACAACGGAGAAGCCAUUUCGCGUGAAGGAGAGGAAAAAAUACUCUUCUCUAAGGCUAAACUUUUUUUAAAUUCACAAAAUUCCUGUAAAAUUCUAUUUUCUGAAUUUCAGAUUAUCAAAGGCUAAUCAUUGUUAUAUCAAUUUUUUAACCGUUGCAUGUAUAAAGUUUAGAGAUGAAGAAAUUUAAGGAAACAACAACAAUUACAAAAAGCAAAUGCACAAAUUGGCUCUGGAGAAAAUACAUGAAUUCUUUUUUUCCUCAAAAUACGUUUGUAAUGUUCAUAUUUAUGGACACGGUAGCAUAAUGAAACAUAGAAAUAAUUAAUACCAAAAACAAUUGUUUUUUGUCAAGUCUUGAAAGCGAAUUUGCUUCCUCCAAUUCUUAAAAGUAUUCAAUUCAUUCCUCCACCAGGCUCAAGAAAAUUGGCUAUAGAAAAUCGAUAGCCUCAUAUGAAAUGUAUAAGAUUUUUAACUUUUAUAUAUAAUUUAAAAACAAAUUUAACUUCUUAUUCGAUUUCUUUAUGCAAUUUUUACCUUGUGAAUGUAAAGUAGAAAAUAAAAGGACAAUAAUUCACUUGGCACUGGCAAGCAGUUCACGAGACAUGAUCCCAUUAAUAUGAACAGGGGGAAAAAAAUCUCAAAUUCCUUGUCAAUUGAGAGCGACAUAAUCAAAAUUAAGAAUCUAUUACAAGGCAAAAAAAGACACCUCCUCUUACAGUGCAAGAAAAAAUCUACUCACUCUCCUCCUCUCUAUCAUCAUCCUUAAUUCUACCUCACCCCUCUAUGACGUGGCACUUUUAGAAAUCCUAAUCAUCCAAUCAGAAUUCAAGGAACUCCAUCAUAAAACUCCAAGGGAUAGAUAAGUGCACACACCCUCAGUUUCUCUCUCCAAAAACCUCAAGACAAAACUCAACCUCAGAAACACACUUCCCCUCAUAAUUUAUCUGACUACCCAUUUCGCCACGUGUCCUUCUCUCUCACCACUAACCAUAAUAACCAACCGUUUCAUUUCUCUAAGUGCCUCUUCACUUUGAAAAAUAUAAGCUCAUUAUCUUUCACUUCCUGAAAAAAGAGGGGAGAAGAAGAAGAAAUUCUCCUGCACAACAUCAAAACUCAUAGAGAAUCAGAAAAAAAUUCAUACCCUUUUGCUUCCUGAUUCUGUUUUCUCUUCCUCUUGAAUUUAAUAACAGAGAGGAGAAACUGAGGAAUCUGUUUUUUGAGUUGCUUGUUGUGAGAUUUUACCAACAAUGGCUUCUCUUGUAUCUACACCAUUUAGAUUACCAUCUUCAAAAGCUGAUAAUCUCUCUUCACUUUCUCAAAAACAUUACUUUCUUCACUCGUUUCUCCCCAAGAAAACCGUACACACGAAUGCCAAACCUUUCUCGAAACUAAAAUGUGCUGCAAUUGGCAAUGGCCUUUUCACACAAACAACCCCUGAAGUCCGCCGGAUUGUGCCUGAAAAUAAACAGAAUCUACCCACAGUGAAAAUUGUCUACGUUGUCCUUGAAGCCCAGUACCAAUCUUCACUCACUGCUGCUGUUCAAUCGUUAAACAAGAGCUCCACAUUUGCUUCAUAUGAAGUGGUGGGUUACUUGGUUGAGGAGCUUCGCGAUGAAUCCACGUACAAAACUUUCUGCAAGGAUCUUGAAGAUGCAAAUAUCUUUAUUGGGUCUUUGAUUUUUGUUGAGGAGCUAGCUUUGAAAGUUAAGGCUGCUGUGGAGAAAGAGAGGGACAGGCUUGAUGCAGUCUUGGUGUUCCCUUCAAUGCCUGAGGUAAUGAGACUUAACAAAUUGGGUUCUUUUAGUAUGUCACAGCUUGGCCAAUCAAAGAGUCCUUUCUUCCAAUUGUUCAAGAGAAAGAAACAAGGUGCAGGAUUUGCUGAAAGCAUGUUGAAAUUGGUGAGAACCUUGCCAAAAGUUUUAAAGUAUUUGCCUAGUGACAAGGCUCAAGAUGCUAGGCUUUAUAUCUUGAGUUUGCAGUUUUGGCUUGGUGGAUCGCCUGAUAACUUGCAGAAUUUCUUGAAAAUGAUAUCUGGGUCUUAUGUGCCUGCAUUGAAAAGUAAAAAGAUCGAGUAUUCUGAUCCAGUUCUCUUCUUAGAUAGUGGAAUUUGGCACCCUUUGGCUCCAACAAUGUACGAUGAUGUGAAGGAGUAUUUGAAUUGGUAUGGAACUAGAAGGGAUGCUAAUGAGAAGCUUAAAGACCCUAAUGCACCUGUUAUUGGGUUGGUCUUGCAAAGAAGUCAUAUUGUAACUGGUGAUGAUGGUCACUAUGUGGCUGUGAUCAUGGAGUUGGAGGCAAGAGGUGCAAAAGUUAUACCAAUUUUCGCAGGUGGCCUUGACUUUUCAGGGCCAGUUGAGAGGUUUUUGAUUGAUCCAGUUACUAAGAAACCAAUGGUGAAUUCAGUGGUUUCAUUGACUGGUUUUGCUCUUGUUGGAGGUCCAGCAAGGCAGGACCAUCCUAGAGCUGUUGAGGCAUUGAUGAAGCUUGAUGUGCCUUACAUUGUUGCUUUGCCUUUGGUGUUUCAAACAACUGAAGAAUGGUUAAAUAGUACUUUGGGACUGCACCCAAUUCAGGUGGCUUUGCAAGUUGCUCUUCCUGAGCUUGAUGGUGGUAUGGAACCCAUUGUUUUUGCCGGCCGGGACCCAAGAACAGGCAAGUUUCAAUUUUCUAUUUGUUGUCUCUGAAUUUUUUUUUCUUGUCAAUUUUGUGUGUAAUUUAUGUGAAAAAAGUCAUAACUUUCCAAUUUAGAGAAAUCCUGGAACUAGUUUAGACACUAUAUAAUAGAAUAAUCUAUAUAACAAAUAAUUAUAGUAUUUGAUAUAGGAUUAGCUUUUGGAAGUACUUUAAAGAGAUGGAUGACCAGUGCACUUUAGGCAAUUAACUCACUUUUUCCCUGCUUUUACUUACAAGUUGAAUCUGAUCAUUACCACAUUUCUAGUAGUUUUUAUGUGUUCAUAUAUUUUGUCACAUUCUUUAAAGGAUUAAUAGCAAAUUCAAUGUGACUGCAGGGAAAUCACAUGCUCUUCACAAGAGAGUGGAGCAACUUUGCACCAGGGCAAUCAGAUGGGCUGAACUGAAAAGGAAAUCCAAGGUAACUUGCUUUCUGAACUUUCUAUAUUCUGUUUUGUAGAGGCUUGCUGGUUCACUUUUCCCUAGGCGGUGCGCGUUAAACAGUUAAAACCGAAAAUCUAAUUGAGCAGAUUUAAUUCAGUUUUUUGGGAGUUCAGUACAGUUUUGAUUAUCAAUUUAAAAAAUUUUCGGUUUUAUAGUUCGUUUCAGUCAAGUUUUCCCCCUUACAUUUAUGAGAAUAAAUGAAGUUUUCUGUAAUAAUGCAUAAUGCUUAGAUAAUUUUCAUAUGCACUUUAUUGCUCUAUUCCCAUCCUGAUUUAAUUAUUUGAGAAGUACAUUGACAAUUUUUAUGUAAGCGGAUUCUGGAAUAUUGAAGUAUGAAUUAUUCAUCAAAUUUGCAAUGAUGACUAACCUAUUUAAUUUUAUCAAUUAUAUGCAUAACCUUUGUGAGCUAAUCUUGGAAUUGCAAAUGCUAAAACUCUCAAGUUGCUAACAUGGCAUAUAUUUUACUGGAAAAGCUUUUCACUUUUAGCAUAUUAUAGGGCAUAUUAGAGUGUGUGACCUUGAAAGAAAUUAUUAAUUAUAGUAUAAUAAAUUUGAAGUAUUUUACAACACUCAAAUGAUCUGUUUAUUUCACAAAAAUAUUUUUUAUAUGGAAACUGUUUUCCUGUUCAUAAGAAAAACUAAGAGAUUUUCUCGGAGAUGACUUCUAUUUGUCAAAAGAUGGUCAUUUUUCCGAAUACCAUGUCUUCUUUCUCUGUACUCUUUCCUUUAGAAUAAUAUACUUCUGUGAAAAUUUUUAUGAAUAGAAGACGAUGCCAUUUCAACAAUUUGAGAGUUAUUGCAUGUUACACGCACACACACACACACACAUAUAGAGAGAGAGAGGGGGCGAGAGACAUAAAAUAAGCUUAAGUAGCAGGUUUUAAUAAAUUCUUAGCGUGCCUUUGGUUAGUAUUCAUUAGAAAACAGUAAGUCUUGUAGUCAUGGAGAUUAACAUCUCAUUUCUUUUCUCAGUUUUAUUGAAUAAGAUUGUAUUUGAACUUGUUUCAAGUUAUUUUCGUAAGCAUGAUUUGACAAGUUUGUAUAUUUAUGCAGGCUGAGAAGAAGUUAGCAAUCACUGUAUUCAGUUUUCCUCCAGACAAGGGAAAUGUCGGGACAGCAGCCUACCUGAACGUCUUCUCUUCCAUCUUCUCAGUUCUAAAGGACCUCAAGAAAGAUGGUUACAAUGUUGAGGGCCUUCCAGAGACUUCAGAAGCUUUAAUUGAAGAUAUAAUUCAUGAUAAAGAGGCUCAAUUUAGCAGUCCAAACCUGAACAUUGCUUACAAAAUGGGUGUUCGUGAAUACCAAAGUCUUACUCCCUAUGCGACAGCAUUGGAAGAGAACUGGGGAAAACCUCCAGGCAAUUUGAAUUCUGAUGGAGAGCAUCUCUUGGUGUACGGAAAACAGUAUGGCAAUGUCUUUAUCGGAGUCCAGCCUACUUUUGGCUACGAGGGUGAUCCUAUGCGGCUUCUGUUCUCCAAAUCUGCUAGCCCGCAUCACGGAUUUGCAGCUUAUUACUCCUUUGUGGAGAAAAUUUUCAAUGCUGAUGCAGUACUUCAUUUUGGUACUCAUGGUUCACUUGAAUUCAUGCCAGGAAAGCAAGUAGGAAUGAGCGAUGUGUGUUAUCCUGACAGUCUCAUCGGGAAUAUCCCCAAUGUCUACUAUUAUGCAGCUAAUAACCCGUCUGAAGCCACCAUAGCCAAACGUCGAAGCUAUGCUAACACGAUUAGCUAUUUGACGCCUCCAGCUGAAAAUGCUGGUCUUUACAAGGGCCUCAAGCAGUUGAGUGAGCUCAUCUCCUCAUACCAGUCACUUAAAGACACAGGCCGCGGACCACAAAUUGUAAGCUCUAUUAUUAGCACUGCAAAGCAAUGUAAUCUUGACAAGGAUGUCGAACUUCCUGAUGAGGGGAAGGAGAUCUCUGCAAAGGAGAGAGAUCUUGUGGUAGGAAAAGUAUACUCCAAGAUUAUGGAGAUUGAGUCUCGGCUUUUGCCAUGUGGGCUUCAUGUCAUCGGGGAGCCACCAUCUGCCAUGGAAGCAAUUGCAACUUUAGUCAAUAUUGCUGCACUGGACCGUCCUGAAGAUGGGAUUUCUUCACUCCCAGCUAUUUUAGCUGAAACUGUUGGACGAAACAUAGAGGAAGUGUAUAGAGGUAGUGACAAAGGAAUCUUGAAGGAUGUAGAGCUUCUUCGGCAAAUAACUGAGGCAUCACGUGGUGCUAUCUCUGCCUUUGUUGAGAGAACAACAAAUAAGAAGGGUCAAGUUGUGGAUGUUACUAAUAAGCUAAGCUCAAUCCUUGGAUUUGGUGUCAAUGAACCAUGGAUCCAAUACUUGUCAGACACCAAAUUUUACCGGGCAGAUAGAGAGAAACUGAGAAUAUUGUUCCAGUUCCUUGGAGAAUGUUUGAAAUUGGUUGUUGCUGAUAAUGAGUUGGGGAGUCUGAAACAAGCUUUGGAAGGCAAAUAUGUGGAGCCAGGUCCUGGUGGUGACCCAAUUAGAAACCCAAAGGUGUUGCCAACGGGGAAGAAUAUUCAUGCAUUGGACCCACAAGCCAUCCCUACAACAGCGGCAAUGCAGAGUGCAAAAAUUGUGGUGGAUAGGUUAAUUGAGAGGCAGAAGGCUGACAAUGGUGGAAAGUAUCCCGAGACAGUUGCACUAGUAUUGUGGGGAACUGAUAACAUCAAGACUUAUGGUGAGUCCCUAGCUCAGGUCUUGUGGAUGAUUGGAGUGACGCCAGUUGCGGAUACCUUCGGCAGAGUUAACCGGGUGGAACCAGUUAGUCUUGAAGAGCUUGGAAGGCCUAGGAUUGAUGUUGUUGUCAAUUGCUCGGGCGUUUUCAGAGAUCUUUUCAUCAACCAGGUAGAAAGUCUUUUCAUGUUCUGCUUUCGUUUCUAAGAGAAGCUCAUGGAAAUCAGCUGAUUAUGUGUGCUUAAACAUCAUUUAUCAUGUUAUGUUGGAGAUGUUUUGUAUAUCUAAUAUUCUCCUUUGUCCACAGAUGAACCUCUUGGACCGUGCAGUGAAGAUGGUGGCUGAACUUGAUGAGCCAGCUGACCAAAACUAUGUCAGGAAGCAUGCUCUAGAACAAGCUGAAGCCCUUGGCAUUGAUGUUCGAGAAGCUGCAACUCGAGUAUUCUCUAAUGCCUCCGGGUCCUACUCUUCAAACAUAAACCUUGCAGUGGAGAAUUCUUCAUGGAAUGAUGAAAAUCAACUUCAAGACAUGUACUUGAGCCGGAAGUCCUUUGCCUUUGACAGCGAUGCUCCAGGCGCAGGCAUGAUGGAGAAAAGAAAAGUGUUCGAAAUGGCUCUGAGCACAGCAGAUGCCACGUUCCAAAACCUCGACUCUUCAGAAAUUUCUCUCACUGAUGUGAGCCACUACUUUGAUUCAGAUCCAACAAACCUAGUGCAGAACUUGAGGAAGGAUAAAAAGAAGCCUAGUGCAUACAUAGCAGACACAACAACAGCUAAUGCUCAGGUUAGCAAUUUGAGCAAUUUCUAAGAUUUUAAAUCAGUCAUUUGUGCUAGAGCUAACCAAUUUCAAAAUUUCUCUCUAUCAGGUUCGCACACUUGCUGAGACUGUACGGCUCGAUGCACGAACCAAAUUGCUGAACCCGAAGUGGUAUGAAGGGAUGAUGUCCAGUGGAUAUGAGGGCGUUCGCGAAAUUGAGAAGCGGCUAACAAAUACAGUUGGAUGGAGUGCAACUUCCGGCCAAGUCGACAACUGGGUAUAUGAAGAGGCAAACUCAACUUUCAUUCAAGAUGAGGACAUGCUGAACAAACUCAUGAGCACUAAUCCAAACUCAUUCAGGAAGCUAGUGCAGACAUUCCUAGAGGCCAAUGGCCGUGGUUAUUGGGAAACUUCACAGGAAAACAUUGAGAAGUUGAGACAGCUCUACUCAGAAGUUGAAGACAAGAUUGAAGGCAUUGAUAAGUAAACAAAUAGCUAGUUUGGCGAUCAAAGUGCAAAUAUUGAUUCACAUUGUUGAUUUAGCCGAUGAGCAUGAGCUGUUCCUCGCUUGAGAUGUAAAAAUUGUUCAUAAAAACAGGGUGGUAAUUCAGUCAUCUUUUUCAGAGAUUUGCCUGUUAAAAUCUUUACUCAGUUACUGCCAAAAGAAGAAAAUAGCAAAUUUGAUGGCAAAAAACAGUGAUAUUGCCUCGGAUCAUAUCAUUUUAUCAUUAAAGUGAAUACCCAUAUCAGUAAACGAAUCAUACAAGAUACUCUACAAAGAAAUUCGAAAAAAAUUUACAAUUACAGUAGGGAUUGAAAAAAAUAAUAAUAAUAAAGCCCUCACCCUCAAGAAAUAAAACAGAAAUUCGUAUCACAGUUACAAAAUGGUAAAGCUUCUUUGUCCUACCAUGGUUCUUGUAAGUAUCAAAAAGAUGUUUUUACCUUCAAACUAACUCCAUCAGAAGAGGGUCACCUUCUGCCAUUAUUCUUACCAGCUUUAUGAAAUCUUGUUCACUUGACACAUUCCACGGGUGAACAGCAGGUGUUUGAGCUGAAUAAAUGGUUGAAUUGGUAGAUGGUGGCUUCGGUUUAUAUACCAUUUUACUAAGCACAGAGUCAAAAUUCUGAGGGGAAUCCAUUGAGACAAAGAACAUAGGUAUAGCAAUUUUGUGAUGGAUUUCCAGAUCAUCCACAAGGCUGACAAGAUCUACAAAGUCGGCUACGUACUGGUGAGGAAUGUAGAAUAUAUCAGAACUGCAUAUCGUCACGCUCUGAUCAUUCUUCAUAGCUUCCUUGUAAUUUACUUGGAAGUGAACAGGCAUUGAACCAACAACUUUUUUUACCAUUUCUGCUUGUUUCCCAUACCAAUCUGAGUUUCCAUUGGUUGACACAGUACUCCAGGAUUUUGAAACCUACACCAGAGAAAUGUGUUAGAAUUAUUAUUCAUGACAAGCACGAGGUGUUACUAAGAAUAAAUGAAUCUACAUGCUGUUCAUAAAACUAGAGUAUUGUCUCUGUCUUUGCACUAUUAAUAACAUUCGGAUGCUAGCAUAAUGAAAUGCUGUAGCAACAAGAUUAGAUUCAAUUAGCAAUGAAUUUCCAAUCUUCGGUUUCAUUUUCAGAAGCAAAAAAGAUUAAAUAUGUUUACAUUAAAAUGAACAUUAUAAGAUAAUCAACGGGUGGAAAAGUUACCUUAUCAGUAAUCCAUAGCUUAGUCUUGUCUGCUUGAAGCAAAUUCCAAUAAUUGAGGAUAGUAUCAUCCUUAAGGAAUAAAAAGCCUUCUGCACUAGUAAACCGAUGAAAUAUCUUGGGCAGAUGCCUGUAGCAGACAUUAAAAAAAAGAAAAAAAAGAAAAAAAAAAGUAAAGUGGUUAAAACUUCAUUUUAUGUCUACGUCAUGAUUAUUAACAAUAAAUGCAUUCCUAGAAACCAAUUGACAACAUAACUGCCAAGUGUAGCUUCUAAGAGAAGUUAAGAAUAAUUAAUGGCAAGUUAGCAACAACCUUCAAUUUGACAAGCACCUACACCAAAUUUGCCUAAAUUAUAGUCUUGAGAGAGGGAGGUGAGAAAAGGUAAAAGUGCAUACAGAUAGGGAAAGAUAACUAUAGUCUGGAUAACAUAUGCAAUUAUAGCUAGAGUUUGAACUCAUAAUACCACCAGUAGAACAGUGGAGAAAUUAAAUUAUGAGAAUUGAGCCUUCUAAAACAAGGGACAACCUCGCCCCUCCUCUUCCUAAGUCCACUGGAGCUAGUUGACCACCUCCUACUCAGCAAGUACCUAGUCAGCUGCAGUAAGAUGCCACCCGUGAUUUUUGUAUCCACAGUGGCUAGAUUUAACUAGGGAUAUGGACUCAAAGUCGGGAAUUGUAAUCCAAGGAGAAAGAACUGGGAAAAACAUAUAACUCUUCCAGCAUCCAAUCCCCUUUUAGAACUAGAUACAUGUAAAAUUCAAAAGCUCUCAUUAGGAAAUCUGUAUCCAACAAUAUGGAUGGAGUAACUGAGAAUGGACAAAAGGUUUCCAGUAUUUUAAAUUUGGACACACUAUGGUAAAAUGAAAGCUCAAAACCAAAAAUUUGAAAAAAUCACUUGGCCAGUUACUGUAAUAAACAGGCAAUCACAGUCAGCAUUCUCAUUACAAAAUCAAAUAGCAUUUGUCAUCUGCACUAAAUGAAUUUCAAGAAUUUGAGGCAUAUUUACAUUAGCUCUGAUGACUUGUAUAAUAGAAUUUAAAUAGAACAAAAGGAAAGGAUUCCAUAUAGUUCGGACUAAACUCUUUUUAGAUGUUCAGAUGUUAUAAUUGGCAGAAUUUAUUGUAAUCAAAAGUUUCGACCACUCUAAAAGUGCAGGCAUGUGUGAGGCAAUGAAGUUCAUAUUGUGAGACACCAGGUAAUGCAAAUAGCAAAUGCACUCUAAAGCAAAUAGAAAUCAAAUGCUAAAGAUUUUUUUUGGGGGGUGGGGGGAGGAGAGAGAGGAGAAAGAGGGGACUUGUGCAUGAGGUUCGCUGCAUUGCAAGCUCUAGAAGGGUUAGAUUCACACAGCCUUUUCCUUUGGAUUGCAGGGAGGCUAUAUCUAUGCUGUGAAAUCAUUAACUGCAGCACACCUUAUCAUUGCACACUAAGACAAAACAGGUUUAGAUUUUAGAGUUAUUUCAAGAAAACACAAUAAUUCAUGUUCUAAAAUUGUUGAUAAAGUUCUAAACCCUUAAACUAUGAUUAACAUUCAGAGGUUUGUUAGGACACAAAUCAUGCAUGCAUAUAAACAUGUAAGAAACUAAAAAUUUCCAUGCUUUAAUAUCCAAAUGCACAGGACUUCAACAUGACAAAAUUAAAUAUCAAUAUAAUGAACAUGUGGCUCUAGAGUUGGGCAUUAUUCGAUCCAAACUCAAAAAAAAGACUGAAAUUUGCACCUCCCCUCUAUUCCUCUAUAUCCUCUCCUCCCUCUACCUUCACAGCACCUGCAUUCCCUUUGUCUCAACCUCUUCACACUUACCAUCACAGCUCAACCUAGAUCCAGCCGACAUCCGUGCUCGUGCACAUACUCUCCCUCUCCCUCAAGCCACAGUCAACUCUCACUGCCUCCACUCACCUGCACACAGAAUGUACCAACUCACCCAAAUGACCAUUUUCUUCUUCCUCAAAUCUCCACUCUCAGACCCAACCUCAAUGGUUCCCUUCUCCCUCACCUCCACAUGACACUGUACCCACAUGAUUUCUUUGUUGAUCUUAGCUCUGUGACUUUCACUUUGAUUUUAUUUAUGAUUUUCGACUUCAUCCUUGAAUCUUGAUUUCAAUUUCUAUGUUGAUUUCUUUUUUCUUUUUUUUUUUAAAAAAAAAAAAGAAUUCUGAAUGUUCAAAAUGAGAAAUCUGUGUUUUGCAAUGAGAAUUUUGUAAUCUGUAAAUUUUGUGCACGAUGAUGGUUAUGGAUUACCCUUCUUCCAUGGAUGGAGGAUUGAGAAUUUGAGAGGAGCAUAACCUAUUUCAGUGUUUAUGGUGGGAUUACAGAACUGAUUUAUUUUGGUUUAGCUAGGUUCAGUUGAUUUCCUUAAUUUGUUCAGUUUAAUUUUCAGUUUUUUCAGUUUGGUCUAGUUCAAAACCAACAAACCAAUUGCGUACUCCUGACUGGCUCCCAUGAACAAAGACAAAUUUCAUGGUUUGCAAAGACACCUAAAACUAAUACAUCUAAUUACGAAAACCAGCAACAAGAAGAUUUUAUCUCUGGUAACCCAUCAUCCAUCCAACAAACAAGUUUUCUUUUACUUUGAACCCUUCAUCAUUGAAGGAAAAGUGGGAGUCAUAAUUAGAAUUCAUUGAUAUGCUUUAUCAAGAGUGAGUAACCAAAUAUCUAAACCUAGAUUCAAAUUUUAUCUAAAUUUGAAAUACAAUCCAGUGAUAAUCUAAUUCAACAGAAGAUAAACAAAUAGAAGGUCCUCAUUAUGCUCUUUGGCAGAAAAUGUAGAAUUAUAAUGUAAAAUAAGCAAAAUGUAUAUCACUAUUAUAUCAAAACUUACUUGUAUAACAGUUCCAAAUUGCCCUCUUCAACAGCAAGAUCCUCGUUCUUCCGCCACGACAAAAUAACCACUGUUUUGAAUAUCCUCCCGUAAAGCAAUCUCCAUUCCAAAGCAGUCCGUUCCACAGGCCCAGUACAAAACAUGAUAAGCACAAUAUUUCCAAAAUUCUUCCUCCAUCGAAUCAAGUUUCCAAUCUCAUAACUCACUGUCCCUGUUUCCUCUACUGCAAGAUGCACAGAUGGCAGCUUACGAGGAAUAAACUCCCUUCGAUCCCCAUGGCCAAUACUUGCCCGUGGCCUAUCCAAUUCCAAUGACAUUAAUCUGGGCUGCUGAUAUCCAACAGCAAUCAAGUCAUGAAGCCAAGCAGCAGUAAACUUCACAUCCUGCUCAUUCCAAAAGCCUUCCUCUGCCAUUGCAUAACUCAACUCCAAAAUCUUUUCGAACAACCUAUGCUUACUCGACCUCCAUGCUACCAAGAACUUAAUCAGCCUCCCUACAUUUACAUGAAGAUCCUUCUCUUCCGAAAAUGGGUAUCCCUUAAUCCUAUCAUAUCUAUGAACAGUAGGUGGAUAAACCACAACAUACCCACCAAUCUCCCACAAAAGCCUUUGUGCCCAAUAGCCCCUUAACACAUCAGAGGCCAUUGUGCUUACUGAAACCGGAAGCAUCAAACCCCAAAAAGCAGAUGAAUGAAAUAUUGUAUUAAACGAAUUCACUGGUACCAUUAUCCCCUGAGGCAAUGCCACUUUAGGGGCAUGCUCAUCGAACCUAAUAUCAAAACCUUCCAAACCAGAUUUCCUAGUAAAGUAGAAGACAGAAUCAACAUCUGGCAAUCCAUUUGAAAUCCCUUGCUGAAUAAAUUGUUUCCCACCAAAAAUCUCAGUGUAGAACUCUUCAUGCUCAAUUUCACCCACAUUCUCCAGUGGCAACCCUCUUGGCCAAACCGAUCUCUGCCCAAAAUGAAUAUAAGGAUUCAACACAGUCCUGUUCUCAUUCUCAUGACUGUACUGCAAUAUGAUCUCUUGCCUAGCUCCCUCCCCAAUUAAUUCCACAUCAAAAUGCUUCCCUAAAUCUUGUCCAAUCACCUCACCACGAUCAUCUGCGUCGAAGAUUUUCUUGGCCCCAUGUUGGAUAGCAAAUAAAUACCCAACGCUUUUCCUCACAUAAGAAUCAUAUGGCACAAAAUCCACAACCCUAAAUCCCAAACUCGCUUGCUGCUCCAAUGACAAGUAUAUCGCACCCUUUAACCCCCAAUCUCUAGGGGUCUUCGAAUUCCCAAUAGCAAGCAACUGCCAACCCUUAAUUUUAACGAGUUUCUUAAGCGAAUCAGAGGGAUAAUCAGAGACCGAAACAAUGAUCCAUCUCUCGGUGCGAAAAUUGGCAUAGAUUGAAGUCUUAUCAGCAAUGGGUGCGAUGUGAUUCCAGUUAAUAUGGGGAAAUGGGAGGGUUUUCUCAAUGGGUUGAGACUUGGACUGAAGAUAGAGAAAGGCAGCAGUGUCACCAGUAUUCCGGAGGAAGAAGACGGCUGCUACGGUGGCGAUGAGGAAAAAACAAAUGAUGAUCUUGUAGAGGUUUUCAGAGAACCAGGUGGAGAAAUCAAGGGAUUUGGAAGGAGAGAAACGGUAAUUCUGGUGGUGGUGGUGGUGGUUGUUGUUGUGGUUUGUAUGGAGGGUGGUAGGGAGGGGGCUUGAAGAUUUAGGAGCUGCUGUACGUUCCUGAACCAACAUUGGUGACCCCCCAAAAGGAUUUCUGAAAAUUACUUGACACUGAAACACAGACACAGACACACUCUACCUGUCUCUCAGCCACAGAGCAAAUUGUGAGCUAAGUGCCAGGAAAGACUGAAAACUAGAGUUUCUGAAUCUCCUCUAAAGCUUGAGACUGCUCCUAAAGACCAAGUCUUCUUAUUUUAUGUGAAAAUAAAAAACAUUUCUUUUAUGUUUUGUCGGUCUCUCUCUCUCUCUCUCUCUCUCUCCAAAGCUUGAAUCUUUUUCUUUUCUUUUCUUAUCUCUCUAGAAAUCCAUUUGCUAGCCGCUGAGUGGCGGCUCAAGGGGCAAGACGAUGGUUGUUGCCGACAGGAAUGAUUCGGUGCGGGGUUGCUUAGGCUUGAAUAUGAUGUAAUUGAACGCAGCUGCUGUUUGUUUGGUGGAGUGGAGAAACGUCAGUCACUGUCACUGUCACCGUAAUAGUUUUAUUGGCUAUGGAUUUCUGGCAUCAUAUAAUGGCUGAAAUGGGUAAUUGGUUAACUAAUUUGGCAAUUAGCAGGUUGGCUGGAGCUUUGCUCAUCUGUCAUGUGGAUACGCACUGCACGGCACCGAUUUGGAUUCUGUCUGCUUAUUAUUGAAAUCCAAUGGAAAUAUUCAUCUCCUGCAAUGUAAUUCAUUUGAAAAAGAAAAUAACAUAAACUCUCAGUUUUGAAAUUAAAAAUUUCACAAUAAUUUAAUUCAAUUAAUUUAUUUUUUAUUUAAAAAAUAUUAAUUUAAUUCAUUAAAUCCGAUCCAAAUGCAACGCAGCUAUACCUAAUGCUUUUGUAAAACCAGCUUAUGAACAGUUCUACUCUUAGUGAAAAAUUUUUACAUUCAUUCUUUACAUUUUUCCUCUAUUUCUGGAGGCUCUACUUCUCUUAUAUCUGCCGUUUAGUGAUCAUCCCUAUUCUAUCUUGGCAGGAGACAGCUCCUCCUUAAUGCAAUGUGAGGUUUUCUAUCCUAAACUUUGAGCUAAGAUGUAAAUACUUUGUUUUGUAUUUUGGCUUGCAAGUCCUAUAGUUUUCAUGGGAUUUCUUUAAAUCUGCCUUGGAUAUACUUUUCAAGUAUGGUGCAGUCAAUUUGUGUCUUAUAUGCUUCUUCUGGGUUUUUGGCUUUGGACGAUGGAGGUAUUGUUUUCUGGGGUUUUCUAAAUCAAACAUUGGUUUUAUAAAUAAUUUCAACACUCCCUUAUUUUUAUAAAUUAUUUUUUAAUUUAUAUUAUUUAAAUAAUAAAUCAAAUUUUACCUUUUAUCUUUUUUCAAGGGCAAUAGACAAGUCUUUGAAACUUUUAAAAUAAAAUAGUAUUUAUUUUUGUAUAUUUAGCAAAGAUGAAAUAAUAAUAGUAUUAAAUUGAAUCUUUGAGCAUGGUUGCAUGCGUAUAGCUUUAGCUAAUUAGAUUCAAUUGAGAGAUAAAUUAGUCAUUAUAUUUAGGGUGUAAAUAAAAUUAAUUGAAAUAAACUUAAGUAGAUUAGGUGUGCAGUAUUCGGUUUAAAUUGAAAAAAUUAACCGAAUCGAAUUGAUUUGAAAAUUCAAUUCAGUUUUUAUUCAUUUCAAUCCGGUUCAGUUUGUUUUUUAAUUUUAAAAAUUUUGAUUAUUUCAAUUCGAUUUAAUUUUAAUUAUAAAAAUUAAAAAAAUUGAAUCGAAUCGAUUAAUGAUAAUAAUAUAUUAUUUUCAAUACCAUAAAGAUAUCAAAUUUAAAAUAUUUUAAUGAACUUUUAAAAUAUUAAAAAUAAAGAGUAAAAAUUAAAAAAUUUAUUAAAAAUUUAAAUUGAUAAAUCGAAUUGAAUUAAAUCAGUUGGAUUUAAUUUUUUAUUAAAAUUAAUUUAAUUUAAUUUUUAUAAAUAUUAAAAUUUUAAUUUUUAAUUUAUUUAAUUCAAUUUAAUUUAAGUUUUGCUGAAAACAAAGAAAUUAGGUAUGUUUUUUCAUGCCCAAGACUAAGCAACUUGAGCUUGACAGCUAAUUGCUGGGCAGGAUAUCUAUAAUUUUAUAAAAAUUAAAAUUUUUUUUUAUAUGAAAUGAAUCAUUUCAAAUAAAAAAUGUAUAAUUUUUUUAAAUAUAAUAUUGACCUUUCAAAUUUAUAAACAAUAAAACUGACUAAUUAUUUUUUAAUUUAAUUUUAUAUAAAUAAAAAUUAAACUCGUUCUUCUUCUUUAAAUUAUUUUUCAAAAAAUAUAUAUUGAAAUGUUGGUAUUAUUCACAUCUAAAUUUAUUUUUAAUAUUGUAAAUAUAAUUUUACCAUUUUAUCAUAAAAUAUAUCUGUGAGUUAAUUUAUAGGCAAUUUUUGUCUAAGAAAAUGAAAUUUGGAUAUUGAAUUUGAAAUUUCUGUUAUUUAUUUUCUUUUUUAUUUAGGAAGAAAGUGAGUGGAAAUUUGAUAAAAUUACAUAUUUACCCAUAUAAUUAUUUUAACUCUAAAUAAAAAUUAUAUAAUGAAUAUUUUAACUUUUUAACUUUUAUUUCUUAUUUUUCUUCCUAAUUUAUAGAUAAGGAGAGAAUUGUUUCAUCAUUUUUAUUUUUCCUUUUCUUCUUUACUUUUUUUCUCCCUAAAACUUUCCAUAAUAAUGACGUUAAGUAAAUUUAAUCAAAUUUAACAUAAAUUUAAAUAUCAUAUUCGGUUCAAUCAAAAUAAUUCAUUGAACUAAAUUAAUUUAAAGAAUUUAAUUUAAUUUUAUAUGUUUUCAGUUUAAUUUAAUUUUUAAAAAAUUAAAUAAUUUUCAUUUGAUUUUAUUUAAAAUAAAUAAAAAAAUGAUUAAAUUGAUUAGUUAACCAGACUGAUAGUAUAUGAAAAUCAUAUCCUAAUCAAGAUUUAAUUGGAUAGUAAAACAAAAAAUAUAUAUAUAAAAACAAAAAAAAAAUUAUUUUUUUUAAAUGGAAAAACAAAAAAAAAAUUUAUUAAAAAGCCAAUCAAGCAAAUAUAAUUGAAUAAAAAUGAUUUGAUUUACAUCCAUCAUUUGCCUUAGUUUUUUCUUUUUUAUCAUGUAAAUAAAUUUGCAUUAAAAAGCCCAUUGGAUAAUAGUAAAAAAAAUUAUCAAAGAUAUUAAAAAUAAAAAAAAAAGGUCUAAAAGAGAAGUCCAAAGCUAAAAAAAAUUGCGGCCCACAACCAACCGUUCACUGCUCACUGAAAGCCGAUCAGAUCUGAAGUGGAGCGAAGAGCAACUGUUCAGCACCCGCGACCGUAUCAACUACCAAAUAGGCACCGUUCAAAUCUGAACAAUCGAAAAAGGAUAGCAAAGCGAUUGACUUAUAUGCAGAAAAAAGCAAAAAAACAAAAAAAGAAACAAACACAACAAAAAUAAUUGAUCACCAAAUUUAGGAGAUUUCGACUGCACAAAUCAGCACUAACCAUCAUCAUAAGCUUCAAUGGCCGCCGUCGACGGCGACUAGAAAAAUAUCGGCCCAUAGCGCUCUCAAUAUCGUAUAUUCAUGGACAGCCAACGAAAUUACUCGAGUUCUACCGUCGAGUAUAUCAACGGUCCCCUUUUCUGGAUCGACAAUCAAACACCAUCAUCAAAACUCAGCGAAAUCAAAUAGAAACAAAUGGAACACAAUAUAAAACUACAAAAAAUAAAAUUAUAGAAGAAAAUAACGUCAAGCUCACUCUACUCAUGGAUCAAAGAGCUCGACAGUCGCAGUUCACAUGAGUGCGACUCCCUCUCUUUCUCUUUCGCUUACUCUUUUUCUCUAUAAAAUCUCUUCAAAAUAGUUUCUCCUCGUUGAUUAAGUUAAAUUUUGCAAAUAUUUAAAUUUACAUUUUCAAUUUAUUCUGUACAAAUUAAUGUACCGAAUGGCUUCUUAUAAAUAGAUUGAUUUUGGAGUACUAAAAAGAAAAGAACAUGGUCAACUCUAAAGAACGCCGUUAAUAUCACCGGCUGAAAAUCAACGCGUAAAGCCAAAGCCAGACGCGGUCUAAAGUGGCCCCUCUAACGCCACAGAAGAAAUAAAAAAAAAAUAAAGGAACGAUAGACCGAAUAUAAACACCGUCAGUCAGUCAGAUUUGUGGACCAGUCUUUUGACUCUUUUGCAUUUGCAUCCUUCUACUUUUAUAUAUUUCAAAAUUUACCCCAAUAUUAUAAUUUUAGACCAACUGCAUCAUUUGGCUUUGACUUUCAUAAAUAAGUCAGUUCAAAUGUGAUUUUAUUAUUAUUAAUAUUUAAUAUUUACAAAAAUAAUAAUUAUUUAACUUCUAAAUUUUAUAAAAAUUUUAAAUUUAUAAAAUAUAAUUAUUUAACAUCUCAAAAAAGCAUGAGUAAUAAAAAAUAAUGAUAAUUAAAUAAUUACAUAUUUAAAUGUAUUUAAUAUUUUAAUAAUAAUUUAGAAGUAUUUUUAGAUAAAAAAUUAAAUUAAUUUUUUUCCUUACGGUGUAGUUAGGGACAAAUUAAACUUUUUAGCAAUCAAUUAAUGGUAGAUCCAAAAUAAAGACAAACUUCUAAGGGCUGACAAACAAAUAUGAAAAAAUGGAGGGGGAAAAUGCAAAAACAAGAUAAAACAUGGAAACAGAGUUGGGCGACCAAACAGGAAAGGGAGAGGAAAGGCAAGAAGCCAAAAUGACAGGAAAUAUCCCUAUAAAUACCAAUCCUCUCUCCACCAUCCCUCACACCUCUCUCUCCCCCUCUCUCUCUCUCUCUCUCUCUCUCUCUAAAGUCAAAGCAACAAAGAAGAAGAGGAGGAAGAUUUAGAUUUCUGUGGAGACAAAGAUGAGCAAGUAUGUGGAAUUGUUGGACGCCGGAGUGAGAAUCGCCGGAAGAUUUUACUCUCACUGCCCACAUACAGCUCGCAUGUACUACCACCCUCCCUCUAACUCCGACGACCACCACCACCACCACCACGACCACCAUGACGGUGGAAGUGUCAGUCACGUGGCGAUUCAGGAUUCUACGCGGAUAUCCAGUUGUGGAUCCAAGGCGGCUAAGGUGUUGGAUGCCACUGAUUUGAUCGUUUAUUCUGUAAUGUAGAAGGAAGAAUGAAAUUAGUGCCCAACACAAACAAUUUUUUGUUACCGAUUUAUUGAAAUUCUUUAUUGAUCGGAAAGAAUUACUGGCAAAAAAUUUCCUCCAUAUUUACUCAAUUUUUGAAUAUCAUUGAUUCUUAUUCUUUUACUCCCUUUGGUAUGAUUGUGAAUAUGACAUGCAUAAUUUUAUUUAUUUUUAGGAUAAAAAUUUUACAAAUUAAAAAAAAAUUUCUAUUUUAAAUAAAAACUUUAAUAAAAAUAAAAUAAAAUAAA